UUUUUUUUUUGUAAAAAAAAUCCAAUUUGUAUGAUUUAGUUAGUUAGUUGUAUAAUUUUCUUAGCUGUAUGAUUGUUAUAUAUAUAUAUAUAUAUNNNNNNNNNNNNNNNNNNNNNNNNNNNNNNNNNNNNNNNNNNNNNNNNNNNNNNNNNNNNNNNNNNNNNNNNNNNNNNNNNNNNNNNNNNNNNNNNNNNNAGGGUUUAAGCUUCUGUCACUCUAGCAACCCAUCAUCUACUUACUACUUCCCAAUGCUUUCCUCUAGGCCCAAAUAAUGGUGAAGUGUUAUGUAGUCGACGUUCACAUAACACCACUAGAGGAAAAACAACAUACAACAUAUCAAAAUACCGAAUGAAUACCAAAUUCACAUGACUACUAUUAGCAUGACUUAUCCCAUGUCCUCAGGAACAAAAGUAACUACUCACAAAGCAUAAUCAUAUUCAUGAUCAAAGAGGUAAUGAGUUGCAUCAAGGAUGUCAACAUAAACUCUUCCAGCAAAUAAUCCAACUAGCAUCAACUGCAAAGAGUAAUCAACACUACUAGCAACCUUACAAGUACCAAUCGGAGUCACAAGACGGAGAUUGGUUACAAGUGAUGAACUAGGGUUUGGAGAUGAGAUGGUGUUGAUGAAGAUGUUGAUGGUGAUGAGUCCCCUCCGAUGAGAGGAGUGUUGGUGAUGACGAUGGCGACGAUUUCCCCCUCCGGGAGGGAAGUUUCCCUGGCAGGAUCGUCCUGCCGGAGCUCUAGAUUGGUUCUGCUUAAGUUCCGCCUCGUGGUGGCGGCGAAACCACGAAAAAGCUCCUACUUUAUUUUUUUCCUGGACGAAACUCUCCAUAUAGCAAAAGAGGGGAGCUAGUGGGCCAAUGGGCUGCCCACAAGCCCUCAUGGCGCGGCCUGGGGGGGGGGGGUGGUCGCGCCGUGCAGGCUUGUGGGCACCCCCUGGUGCCCCUCUGGCACUUCUUCGCCCCAGUAUUUUUGAUAAAUUGGGAAAAAUCUUCGUUGAUUUUCACGGUGUUUGGAGUUGCGUAGAAUAGGCAUCUCAACUUUACUCCACUUUCAGGCCAGAAUUCCAGUUGUCGGUAUUCUCCCUCUUCAUGUAAACCUUGCAAAAUAAGAGAGAAAAGGCAUGAGAAUUGUACCGUGAAGUGAAAUAACAGCCAAAGAAGCGAUAAAUAUCAACAUGAAAACAUGAUACAAAAUGGACGUAACAGGAUGCCAUCUAGAGCUCCCUUCCGGCACUCUAGCGGAGGGGGAAUGAUCAGCUAGGGCUUCUUCAUUAACCUUGCUGCCCUCAUGAUGAUGUGCGAGUAGUUCACCACAAACUGAUACGUCCAUUUUUCAUCAUGUUUUGUCACUGUUAUUGUUAGUGUUUUUAUGCAUUAUACCACUUGGUGGAGUAAUUCUAAUGCCUUUUCUUUCCUAAUAUAUGCAAGGUUUACAUCAAGAGGGAGAAUGCCGACAGAUGAAAUUCUGGACCUGAAAAAGCUACAUCAAAGGUACCGGGGGUGUGACUAGUAGUGUUGAUUACAUCUCUUAGUUCAUCUCUUGUGCUCAGUCUUGUACCANNNNNNNNNNNNNNNNNNNNNNNNNNNNNNNNNNNNNNNNNNNNNNNNNNNNNNNNNNNNNNNNNNNNNNNNNNNNNNNNNNNNNNNNNNNNNNNNNNNNUAUGAUAUGAUUUGAUUUGAGUAUAGAUAGGGAAGGCAAUGAAAGUUUUGAUUUGAUAACCUUUAUUGAAUUUAAGGAAAAAUUCAAGGAGAAGCGCCGCAUCACAGCACUUUUCAUUGACGGCUUUACACGCGCAAGCAAAAACCUUCUAUCUCAUGAUUACAUCAUCGUAUUAAAUGUUUUUGAAUUUUAAAAUGAUCUGUCUCACAGAUUAAUAAUUUGAUUCAUCGUUAGGUUCGUCUCGACGAGACCUUUAAAAUAAGAUCUCAUGUUGACAUGUUUCGUUGAAUUUUUUCGUCAUUCCUAGUUGCCACAUUUAUGUCAUCAUAGUUGUCAUUUUACGGAUGUACAAUUAUCACAAAAUUAUGCAUAAUUAUCGGGACAAUAAUUUUUACUUUUAAAUAUUGCAGUGUUAUGUAGAGCUAAAAAGUGAUUAUUAAAUCACUAACAAUAAGCAAGUAAAUGCAUGAACCAGUAAAAGUACAAUGAAUCAACUUUUUUAGUGGNGUAUAUCGACAUUCUUAAACCUGAUAAGCAAGUUGAUUUAAUGUGAGAACUAUGUGACAAAUAAUGUGACAAGUAAANNNNNNNNNNNNNNNNNNNNNNNNNNNNNNNNNNNNNNNNNNNNNNNNNNNNNNNNNNNNNNNNNNNNNNNNNNNNNNNNNNNNNNNNNNNNNNNNNNNNCUGUAUAAUUUUGUCUGAAAAAAUUAUACAUUAGCCCCCAAGUGUCAAGGAUAUUGCUUGCAAUAGUUCUGAGACUUGCCCCCUUAUCAUGUACUUCAACAGGAAACUCUUAUCCAGACCGAAUCAGCACUUGGCGACUUGAAGAAAAGCUUAUCUGAUCAGCAGGAUGCCCGAGCCAAAUCGGAGGAGAAGUAUCAACUGGUCGUAGCUGAGAUGGAAAAAUUAAAAGCCGAUUUAAAAAGGGCUCAAGCUGACCAAGAUGCUUCAACAAAACGAGCAGAGAAAGCUGAAGCCAAGCUAGCUACUGUGCAACAAGAGCUGUCCGGUUUGAAACGUCAUAUCUCAAACAUGGCGCAAGCCGUCUUUGGUAAAAUACUCAAACCUUUAACCUUUUUAAACAAAUAACUCUUAUCUUGAGUCGCUGAUUAUCAUUACCCCUUGUACAGGUCCGAGAACCGCCAACCUUCAGGAUGAUUGCGUGCUGAUGCUGAAGGCGAUUUACACGCUGACAGAGCAGCUAUAUACCGGUAGUGUACUGACAGUGAAAGCAGUGAUGGGCGCCAAGGAGCCUAUAACCUUCAUAAAGAAGAUGCUUGGCUGCCUAUCCACGCUUCCUCCCCUGAUUGGCGAGUUGACUCGGUCAGCUGCCCGGAAGGGAGUGCUGACUACAUUAAGUCGCUGCUUAGCGUAUGCUCCAGAGAUCAACCCAGAAGAAGUAACGGCGGGCUUUCCUCAACUCAAGGAUGACGGGUCAGAAUUCGCCGAAGAGGACUACCAGCGUGUCAUCAAGGACUCCCGGCUGGCGGUGACUCAACUUGCCGCAAGUCUGGACUUAUCAAAGUACCAGGCUGCUUAUGAUAGUAAGAACAAGAAGGUCAAUCUGCCAACCUUUGUGACGACCAGCUUAACUCCACGGCGACCCAAGAACCCUUUUGACUUGUACGCAGAUCUUUCAUCAAUCCUGACCGAUGAAGAUGACUUUGCAGCUCUAGCCAAGUGUAACUGGGUACUGGGCGACUUGCAAAUUGAGGUUGGCCAAAGCUCGCAGCAAACUGAUCCAAGCGCGUCAGUAGAAUAAACUUCAUUGAAUUGGCCAUAAGAGCCAUGUAAUAGGUCUCCUUUAAGAAUCGGUACUGCUUUUGUGAUACCUUCAAAAAGAAUCCUUAUGUCGCCCUUAAGGCGAUUUGAAAUAUUUGAUCCGCCGUUUGAAACUUCUUUAUAAUGCUUAAUCCGCCAUGGAUAAAGUGAUUUUGAUCAUCAACCUGUUCUAAGCUUGAAAAACAUAUGUGAAAUCAUCUUAAUGAAUAAUAAGUGAUAACAAAUAUUUCAAGAUGAAUCAGAAAAAAGUCUGGAAAACCUUGUGGCAGUGCCAGGAAGGUAAAUAAAAAUAGCAAUUUCGUCGGGUCAUAAGGUCGCGACAGGAUGGGGCGAGUCAAAAAGCUCAAGCGCCACCCAAGAAUGAUUUCGUCGGCUCAUAAGGUCGCGACAGGAUGGGGCGAGUUAGAAAGCUCGAGCGCCACCCAAGAAUGAUUUCAUCGGCUCAUAAGGUCGCGACAGGAUGGGGCGAGUCAAAAAGCUCAAGCGCCACCCUAGAUGAUGGUUUCGUCGGCUCAUAAGGUCACGACAGGAUGGGGUGAGUCAGAAAGCUCAAGCGCCACCCUAGAUGAUGGUUUCGUCGGCUCAUAAGGUCGCGACCGGAUGGGGCGAGUCAGAAAGCUCAAGCUCCACCCUAAAUGAUGGUUUCGUCGGCUCAUAAGGUCACGACAGGAUGGGGCGAGUCAGAAAGCUCAAGCGCCACCCUAAGAUAAUGNNNNNNNNNNNNNNNNNNNNNNNNNNNNNNNNNNNNNNNNNNNNNNNNNNNNNNNNNNNNNNNNNNNNNNNNNNNNNNNNNNNNNNNNNNNNNNNNNNNNAUUUCAUUAAAGGUUUACAUACGAAGCAAAGUGGAUGAAUCUACAUUCUAAAGUAUGUCUAUAUACAUCCGUAUGUAGUUUACUAGUGAAACCUCUAGAAAACUUAUAUUUAGGAACGGAGGGAGUACUUUUUAGUAGUAGAGAUAACUCAUGUGUGUUGGUCUGUUGGACAUGGGUAUAAUUUUUAGUACACUAGGCCAUGAUUUACAUGCUCACAACUGAUUGUGUAUGUAAUUUUGACAAAAAAAACUAAGAUUGUGUAUAUAAUUUUGCAAAAAAGAAAAAGAAAAAAACUAGAUUGUGUAUGUAAAAUGUUUUACCAAAUAAAACCCUGCCAAUGACUUACUUACCCAGAUAAAUUAUAAGAUUUAUUUGGCAAAUAUGUAUUCACUUACCAAAGAAAAUAAUAUUUUAUUUGAUAAGUCAAUACAGGAUAGUUAAUAUAGUUGACAGUAAAAACAACAUUACAAAAAGUAGAGAUAUAUAAACAAGAAAAAUUAAAAUAGAGAGAAAGAGGAAAAAAUUAUAUGUAAGGUUGGACGAAGGAAGAGAGGGACAAAUAAUGUUACAUAGUAUCCUUAAAAUUNNNNNNNNNNNNNNNNNNNNNNNNNNNNNNNNNNNNNNNNNNNNNNNNNNNNNNNNNNNNNNNNNNNNNNNNNNNNNNNNNNNNNNNNNNNNNNNNNNNNAGAAAGUAGAAGAUCCGAUCUCGUCUGUUGAAUUUGAUCNGAAAUAUGGUCAUAUCUUCGUUAUCCCAAUAGUAAACCUUCUUACUUCUCUUCGCAUAUCGAAAGACGCAAAAGAUCUAUUAUUAGCUUAUAUAUAAGUUGUCGAAGGUCCGUAAAAGCCUUGAUGAGGAGAAUAUGAUAUUGGAGUUGGAUGUUGCCGAGGUGCGUGACGAUCACAAGAUCAAGAUGAAUGCAAUGCACUUGAAGAUUAGAAACAUUAGAAAAUAUGCCAUAAUAAGCUCCUCCUCUUUCUUCUUCUUCUUCUCCUCCUCCUCCUCCUCCUCCUCCUCCUUCUUGAUUUCUUCUUCUUCUCCUCUUCCUCCUCUUUCUUCUUCUUCUCCUCCUCUUUCUUCUUCUUCUUCUACCAUAAUAAGCUCAAAAUGAAAAGAAAGAAGAAGAAGAGAUGAAGAAGAAGAGAAGAAGGAGAAGGAGGAGGAGGAGGAGGAGGAGGAGGAGGAGAAGGCCAAGGACCUUCUAUCCUUCUCCUCCUCCUCUUUCUUCUCCUCUUUCAUAUUAUCCUUGCUUUAAUUAACCCAACAAUGACAUAGUUAGCCCAUUUAGCUCCAAAAUACCGUAAUAAGCUCAAAAUGGCAUAAGAACCUUGGUUAGCUCAUGAAUAUUAUAUACUUAGCUUCUUUUCCUCUAAAAGGACAUAAUUGGAAUAUUUAGCUCAAAAAAGACAUAAUUAGGUAAUUUAGCUCCAACAAGAGGAGAAGAGGAGAAGAAAUAGGCAAAAAUGAAAAGAAAGAAGAAGAAGAGAUGAAAGAAGAAGAGAAGAAGAGAGAGAGAGAGAGAGAGAGAGAGANNNNNNNNNNNNNNNNNNNNNNNNNNNNNNNNNNNNNNNNNNNNNNNNNNNNNNNNNNNNNNNNNNNNNNNNNNNNNNNNNNNNNNNNNNNNNNNNNNNNCUCCAGCCAUAUAUACUGUCCAUUUCCACCUUGAGUUACGAGCCAGGCCAGGAAAGCACUGCAAAGUAUUGCAAUAACACUACUUCUGGAAAUAGGUGUCAUUUAGGAGUUGAACAGUAGCUUCAUGGAGCUAAAAAUGUCUCUCAGUUUUAAUACUUCUCCUGGCAAUGUUUUCCACCAUCCAACAUGAUUUUUAGCGCUCGGGGAGAAGAUGGACCAGGCAAAAAAAUCCUCUUGCUGAUUUGAAUUUGCAGUAACUAAUUUUAUUUGAUUUUGUAAUAUCUAUGAGAUCCAAAAACAUGAGACUGGGAGGCACAAUUCAUCUUUUUACAGAUUUGAUAUAUAUGAACUCGAGCUCCUGCAGAUUUUAAUUGUUUACUGGAGCUCCUGCAGAUUGACAUUCAUGGACAUAUACUCCUGCAGAUUUCAUCCAAGGUAUAUCACACCCAGUAGUUAGACCAUGGUGAGAACGAUGUGUAGCUGUUGUCUGCUGAUGCCCAAGCUUAUAUUACANNNNNNNNNNNNNNNNNNNNNNNNNNNNNNNNNNNNNNNNNNNNNNNNNNNNNNNNNNNNNNNNNNNNNNNNNNNNNNNNNNNNNNNNNNNNNNNNNNNNCUUCUCUUCUUCUUCAUCUCUUCUUCUUCUUUCUUUUCAUUUUGCCUAUUUCUUCUCCUCUUCUCCUCUUGUUGAAGCUAAAUUACCUAAUUAUGUCUUUUUUGAGCUAAAUAUUCCAAUUAUGUCCUUUUAGAGGAAAAGAAGCUAAGUAUAUAAUAUUCAUGAGCUAACCAAGGUUCUUAUGCCAUUUUGAGCUUAUUACGGUAUUUUGGAGCUAAAUGGGCUAACUAUGUCAUUGUUGGGUUAAUUAAAGCAAGGAUAAUAUGAAAGAGGAGAAGAAAUAGGAGGAGGAGAAGGAUAGAAGGUCCUUKGGCCCUUUCUCCUCCUCCUCCUCCUCCUCCUCCUCCUCCUCCUCCUUCUCCUUCGUUCUCUUCUUCUUCAUCUCUUCUUCUUCCUUCUUUCAUUUUGAGAUUAUUAUGGUAGAAGAAGAAGAAGAAAGAGGAGGAGAAUAAGAAGAAAGAGGAGGAAGAGGAGAAGAAGAAGAAAUCAAGAAGAAGGAGGAGGAGGAGGAGGAGGAGAAGGCCAGGNNNNNNNNNNNNNNNNNNNNNNNNNNNNNNNNNNNNNNNNNNNNNNNNNNNNNNNNNNNNNNNNNNNNNNNNNNNNNNNNNNNNNNNNNNNNNNNNNNNNCGUAAAAAAUAUUAUGUCAUGUAAAAUUACAAACACAAAAACAUAGUGUAAAAUAUACAGAAAAUAUGAUUUUUUUGUCUUAUGACCUAUAUUUUUGUUUUCUUAUGUCAAACCUUACGUAGUCACUCAAUGUAAAUUUAACUAUUUGCAUUUCGAAUGUAAUUUAUUUAUGAAACGAUCGUAAGAUUACCUCGGGUGAAGAAUAACUUAUUCUGCAUCCCAGAUGAUGAAUAGACUUCAUAUAUAUAUAUAUAUAUAUAUAUAUAUAUAUAUAUAUAGGGUCGCGCUAUUCGUCAUCCUGGAUGAGGAAUAGUUAUUCUUCACCUCCCUCUAUUUUUAACAUCAAUGCAUCGUAAUUUUACGUUCCGUAAAAUUUUUGCCUUAUUUUAUAUGUAAAAAGAGACCGUAAAAAAAAUAUAAUCAACAUAAAAAAUAUUUUAUGUCACAUAAAAAUGACGAACAUACAAAAAUAGUGUAAAAAUACAAUAAAUUCAAUUUUUUCUGAUCUUGUGACCUAUAUUAUUGUUUUUAUUUUGUCAAAUUUUACGUAGUGAUUCAAUAUAAAUGUAACUAUUUGUAUUUCAAAUGUAAUUUAUUUGUAAAUUGACCGUAAGAUUAUCUCGGGUGAANNNNNNNNNNNNNNNNNNNNNNNNNNNNNNNNNNNNNNNNNNNNNNNNNNNNNNNNNNNNNNNNNNNNNNNNNNNNNNNNNNNNNNNNNNNNNNNNNNNNAGGGGAAGGAGAAGGAGAAGGAGGAGGAGAAGAAGAAAAAAGAAGAGAAGAAGAAGGAGAAGAAGGAGGAGAAGAAGGAGAGAAGAAGAAGGAGAAGAAGGAGGGCUCCUUCUCCUUCUCCUUCUUCUUCUCCUCCUUCCUUCUCCUUCUUCUCUUCUUCUCCUCCUCCUUCUUCUUCUUCUCCUCCUCCUCCUUCUUCUUCUCCUUCUCCUUCUAUUCUUCUUCUCUUCUUCCUCUUAUUCUUCCUUCUCCUUCUUUUUGAGCUAAAUAUUCCAAUUAUGUCAUUUUAGAGGAAAAGAAGCUAAGUAUAUAAUAUUCAUGAGCUAACCAAGGUUCUUAUGCCAUUUUGAGCUUAUUACGGUAUUUUGGAGCUAAAUGGGCUAACUAUGUCAUUGUUGGGUUAAUUAAAGCAAGGAUAAUAUGAAAGAGGAGAAGAAAGAGGAGGAGGAGGAGAAGAAGAAGAAAUCAAGAAGAAGGAGGAGGAGGAGGAGAAGGAGGAGGAGGAGAAGGAUAGAAGGUCCUUGGCCUUCUCCUCCUCCUCCUCCUCCUCCCNNNNNNNNNNNNNNNNNNNNNNNNNNNNNNNNNNNNNNNNNNNNNNNNNNNNNNNNNNNNNNNNNNNNNNNNNNNNNNNNNNNNNNNNNNNNNNNNNNNNCCGGUGACAAGAAGAUCGUGCCGGUGCUUUGGUGAUGGAGAUCAAGAAGCACGUGAUGAUGGCCAUAUCAUGUCACUUAUGAAUUGCAUGUGAUGUUAAUCCUUUUAUGCACCUUAUUUUGCUUAGAACGACGGUAGCAUUAUGAGGUGAUCUCUCACUAAAAUUUCAAGACGAAAUUGUGUUCUCCCCGACUGUGCACCGUUGCUACAGUUCGUCGUUUCGAGACACCACGUGAUGAUCGGGUGUGAUAGACUCAACGUUCACAUACAACGGGUGCAAAACAGUUGCGCACGCGGAACACUCGGGUUAAGCUUGACGAGCCUAGCAUGUGCAGACAUGGCCUCGGAACACAUGAGACCGAAAGGUCGAUCAUGAAUCAUAUAGAUGAUAUGAUUAGCAUAGGGAUGCUUACCACUGAAACUUUACUCAACUCACGUGAUCAUCGGACUUGAGCUAGUGUAAGUGGAUCAUGAACCACUCAAAUAACUAGAGAGAUGUACUUUUUGAGUGGGAGUUUAGCGAAUAAUUUGAUUAAGUUAAACUCUAAUUAUCUUGAACAUAGUCUAAGUCCACUUUGAAUAUAUUUGUGUUGUAGAUCAUGGCUCACGCGAUAGUCACCCUGAAUUUUAAUACGUUCCUAGAGAAAGCUAAGUUGAAAGAUGAUGGAAGCAACUUUGUAGACUGGGCUCGUAAUCUUAAGCUAAUCUUACAAGCUGGAAAGAAGGAUUAUGUCCUUAAUGCUGCGCUAGGAGAUGAACCACCCGCUACGGCUGAUCAGGAUGUUAAGAACGCUUGGUUAGCACGUAAGGAGGACUACUCAGUAGUUCAAUGUGCAGUCUUGUAUGGCUUAGAACCGGGACUUCAACGUCGCUUUGAGCGUCAUGGAGCAUUUGAGAUGUUCCAGGAGUUGAAGUUUAUCUUUUAGAAGAACGCCCGGAUCGAGAGGUAUGAGACCUCCGAUAAAUUCUAUGCUUGCAAGAUGGAGGAGAACUCGUCUGUCAGUGAACAUGUGCUCAAAAUGUCUGGGUACUCAAACCGUCUAGCUGAACUGGGGAUUGAACUCCCGCAAGAAGCUAUCACUGACAGAAUCCUCCAAUCACUGCCGCCAAACUAUAAAGGCUUUGUGUUGAACUACAACAUGCAAGGGAUGAACAAGUCUCCCGGCGAGUUGUUUGCGAUGCUGAAAGUCGCAGAGUCUGAACUCCGUAAAGAGCAUCAAGUGUUGAUGGUGAGCAAGACCACUAGUUUCAAGAGAAACGGCAAAGGCAAGAAGGGCAAUUCGAAGAAGAGCGGCAAGCCUGUUGCCAAUCCGCCGAAGAAACCCAAGGCUGGACCUAAGCCUGAAACAGAGUGCUUCUAUUGCAAGGGUAUGGGUCAGUGGAAGCACAAUUGCCCCAAGUAUCUGGCAGAUAAGAAGGCGGGCAAAGAAAAAUCAGGUAUAUUUGAUAUACAUGUUAUUGAUGUGUACUUAACCGGCUCUCGUAGUAGUGCCUGGGUAUUCGAUACCGGUUCUGUUGCUCANNNNNNNNNNNNNNNNNNNNNNNNNNNNNNNNNNNNNNNNNNNNNNNNNNNNNNNNNNNNNNNNNNNNNNNNNNNNNNNNNNNNNNNNNNNNNNNNNNNNAGAGACUUGCCGGUGAAUGAGAUUGAAAUAGGUAUGCGGAUACUGACGAUCGAAUCUCGGGCAAGUAACAUACCGAAGACAAAGGGAAUGACAUACGGGAUUAUAUGAAUCCUUGGCACUGAGGUUCAAACGAUAAGAUCUUCAUAGAAUAUGUAGGAUCCAAUAUGGGAAUCCAGGUCCUGCUAUUGGAUAUUGACCGAGGAGUCUCUCGGGUCAUGUCUACAUAGUUCUCGAACCCGCNNNNNNNNNNNNNNNNNNNNNNNNNNNNNNNNNNNNNNNNNNNNNNNNNNNNNNNNNNNNNNNNNNNNNNNNNNNNNNNNNNNNNNNNNNNNNNNNNNNNNNNNNNNNNNNNNNNNNNNNNNNNNNNNNNNNNNNNNNNNNNNNNNNNNNNNNNNNNNNNNNNNNNNNNNNNNNNNNNNNNNNNNNNNNNNNNNNNNNNNNNAUUUGAGUUAUAUGGUUAGUUACCGAAUGUUGUUCGGAGUCCCGGAUGAGAUCACGGACGUCACGAGGGUUUCCGGAAUGGUCCGAAAACGAAGAUUGAUAUAUAGGAUGACCUCAUUUGGUUACCGGAAGGUUUUCGUAGUUACCGGGAAUGACGAAUGGGUUCCGGGAGUUCACCGGGGGGGCAACCCACCCCGGGGAAGCCCAUGGGCCUUGAGGGUGGCGCACCAGCCCUUAGUGGGCUGGUGGGACAGCCCAAAAGGGCCCUAUGCGCAUUGGAAGAAAAAUCNNNNNNNNNNNNNNNNNNNNNNNNNNNNNNNNNNNNNNNNNNNNNNNNNNNNNNNNNNNNNNNNNNNNNNNNNNNNNNNNNNNNNNNNNNNNNNNNNNNNAGAGACUUGCCGGUGAACGAGAUUGAAAUAGGUAUGCGGAUACUGACGAUCGAAUCUCGGGCAAGUAACAUACCGAAGGACAAAGGGAAUGACAUACGGGAUUAUAUGAAUCCUUGGCACUGAGGUUCAAACGAUAAGAUCUUCGUAGAAUAUGUAGGAUCCAAUAUGGGCAUCCAGGUCCCGCUAUUGGAUAUUGACCGAGGAGUCUCUCGGGUCAUGUCUAUAUAGUUCUCGAACCCGCNNNNNNNNNNNNNNNNNNNNNNNNNNNNNNNNNNNNNNNNNNNNNNNNNNNNNNNNNNNNNNNNNNNNNNNNNNNNNNNNNNNNNNNNNNNNNNNNNNNNNNNNNNNNNNNNNNNNNNNNNNNNNNNNNNNNNNNNNNNNNNNNNNNNNNNNNNNNNNNNNNNNNNNNNNNNNNNNNNNNNNNNNNNNNNNNNNNNNNNNNNNNNNNNNNNNAUUUGAGUUAUAUGGUUGGUUACCGAAUGUUGUUCGGAGUCCCGGAUGAGAUCACGGACGUCACGAGGGUUUCCGGAAUGGUCCGGAAACGAAGAUUCAUAUAUAGGAUGACCUCAUUUGAUUACCGGAAGGUUUUUGGAGUUACCGGGAAUGACGAAUGGGUUCCGGGAGUUCACCGAGGGGGGGGGGCAACCCACCCCGGGGAAGCCCAUAGGCCUUGAGGGUGGCGCACCAGCCCUUAGUGGGCUGGUGGGACAGCCCAAAAGGGCCCUAUGUGCAUUGGAAGAAAAAUCNNNNNNNNNNNNNNNNNNNNNNNNNNNNNNNNNNNNNNNNNNNNNNNNNNNNNNNNNNNNNNNNNNNNNNNNNNNNNNNNNNNNNNNNNNNNNNNNNNNNGCGCCGCCACCUCCUGUUCUUCAUCUGGAGGGCAGAUCCGGAGUCUGUUCUCGGCUCCGAAGAGGGGAGAUCGUCGCCAUGGUCAUCACCAACCUUCCUUCAUCGCCAAUUCCAUGAUGCUCUUCACCGUUCGUGACUAAUCUCAUCGUAGGCUUGCUGGACGGUGAUGGGUUGGAUGAGAUCUAUCAUGUAAUCGAGUUAGUUUUGACGGGGAUUGAUCCCUAGUAUCCACUAUGUUCUGAGAUUGAUGUUGCUACUACUUUGCCAUGCUUAAUGCUUCUCACUAGGGCCCGAGUGCCAUGAUUUCAGAUCUGAACCUAUUAUUUUGUCGCCAAUAUAUGUGAGUUCUUGAUCCUAUCUUGCAAGUUGUAGUCACCUACUAUGUGUUAUGACCCGGCAACCCCGGAGUGACAAUAGCCGGAACCACUCCCGAAGAUGACCAUAGUAUGAGGAGUUCAUGUAUUCACCAAGUGUUAAUGCGUUGGUCCGGUUCUUUAUUAAAAGGAGAACCUUAAUAUCCCGUAGUUUUCAUUAGGACCCCGCUGCCACGGGGGGGAUGGACAAUAGAUGUCAUGCAAGUUCUUUUNNNNNNNNNNNNNNNNNNNNNNNNNNNNNNNNNNNNNNNNNNNNNNNNNNNNNNNNNNNNNNNNNNNNNNNNNNNNNNNNNNNNNNNNNNNNNNNNNNNNCCGCCAGCUCCCUGCUGCCCGCACCUCCUCCUGUAGCGCCUCGCCGGGAACUGCGCCGCCCCAAGCUCCCCAUCGGCCCCGCCUCCGGCCGCCGCUCGCCGGAAGUCCCACGGAGGCCCACCAGUCGCCUGCACCUUGUCUCUCCGCCGACAGGGGCCGGCCGCCAUGGAUAGCAUCGCCCUAGCGCCGGCCACCUCCGCCGCCAAGCCUCCGGCCGCCGCGUUUUGGCUCCCCUGCAGUGAGCUGCCCACCGACAGAUCUGGCCGCCACGCCGCCGUUGGACCCGCUGCAGCCUCCUCUCCAGCCUCCCGCGGGAUCUCCUCCACGUUCGCUGCAAGCACCGGCCGCCGCCAGGCCCGUGCCCUCGGGCACGACGAGGGGCACGAUGCUCGAGCCGCGCGUGGCUCCAGCGCCACCAACCGCUGCGGCCCAGUGCGCCCAGCAGCCGGCCCAGUCGCCCCGCUCGACAGCGCCAAGGCUUUGCUAGCUCCACCGACCAGGCCCAACCGCCUCCUUUCCUGGCCCGAUUGCCCAAGGUGAGGCUGGCCAUCCCCCCCGCCUUGCAAUUUUCUUCUGUUAUAUUGCGCCCCUGUCGGCCCAUGUAGUAUUUUAGUUUUUUAUUACGUUUUAGAUAAUUCCAGUAAAUGAACGUAAAUAUAAAUGCCCGUAACUUUUUAUCCGUAAGUCGGAACGAGGCGUAUUUUAUAUGGUUUUGGGGUAGAAUUUCGCGUAGAAUACGAUUUCAAACUUGCAUAAUUAUUUGAGGUCGUUUAGCGUGCUGUAUGCCUAGAAACACAUGCUGUCCUAUUAUGUUUACGACCCGUAUAAUUUCUCGUGCGUGUCCGGACUGCCCGCAUAACGUCGAUUAAAUUUCCACGUUUUAGGAAUCAGUUUUGCAUGUAUUUUAGAGCGGUCACUCGUAUUUUUGCGUGUAGGGUUUGCCUCUAGUUUAUUUUCCCGUAUAUAGGUUAUUUUCUCGCAUUAAUGUGUGGCUCUAUUUUGUGUUGCAACCCCACAUAUUUUAUAUGUGUCCGGGGUAGAAAAAAAUCCAUGGGAUUUUUCUGUGCAAUUAGUUUUAGUUUUCGAGUAAGUUAGUUCGCGAGAUAUUUUGCCAUGUUGCCCUCUUGUUUAUAUCGUAGGAUUUAUUCCGUGCGUCGUUUGACGGAGUUGUCAACUAGAGAGUUGAUCUUGGAUGUUUUGUUUAGCCCCUGGUAUUUUUGGUUGCAAUAGAAAUGCAUAUUUAGGUGUUGUUUGCUUUCUCUCAAGUUGCUAGAAAUAGUGCUGAUUUGGAGGUGCUGAAAUAUUUCUAAGUCUGGAAUCUGUUAUAUUUUGUUGCUGUUUUGUCUUGCUUGCAUCUUGUGAUCUGUAGCUUUUUUGAGGUUGGUCCAAUGGAGUUAGUAGUACCCCUUGUGUUUCUCUAGCAUGCUGUAAAUUUUCAUGCCAUUUGGAGUCCUGUAGCUAUAGGUUUUUCUGCUGUCAAUAUGCCUUCAGGCUGAAAACUGCACUUUCAUGAGGUGUUAUUUUCACUAAGUCUGAAAUGGUGUGUGGGAAGCCAUUUUGCGACUUCUUUCCCUAGUGUUCCUUGCUGCCAUGCUAGUUGUUGUUAGUUGUUUGUAGUAGAGCGUCUUGUCCUCUUUCGUGCCAUCCCUUGCUUGAGUUUAUCGGAGUUGUGUAGCCGUAGUUGUGGGGCGUAGAAAGUGCUAUGUGGCUGAUUUUGGCAGAUUGUAGUGAGUUCUUGAUUUGCUCGUAUCUUUUGAACCGUAGCUCCGUUUUGAUCGUGUCCUACUUGAAACUUGCGUAGAAUCUCGUGUAGAUUCAUUUUCUCUUGCUGUUUGUAUGUCUUGAAGUGCUCGUGACCGUCGUUGCACACAUUUUGCAUUCAUGCCAUCAUAUCUUGCGGUGCUUGUAUCUUUUGAUCCGUAGCUCCGUUGGAGAUGUUCUCUACGUGUAGAUUGCUUGCCUUGACGCGUAGAAUCACGUGAACCUAUUUGUUUUGCUGUUUAACAACUAAUUAAAUGCAUUAGUUCAGAUCUGGACAGAAUUGUAAAUUAACAUGUGAGGUCGUUUCGGAGAUGCUAUAUGUCAUUUCCGACCUCAUUUAAAAUGUCUAGAUAGAUAGUUUAAUUUCCGCUUCACCUCUUACAUGUUUGACAACAGUAAUAUUGCCGUGUAAAUAACUGGGAGUGAACUAAAUAAUUCAUAUGUGGAGUUUCGUCAAUAUGCAACUCGUUGCAUAUUGAACUUCACUUAAUGUGUAGUGAUUGAUUGUGUGAUUUGUCAUGCCGUGACUUGCAUGUAUUCAACUGCUCAUGCAUCAUUUGUGUUGUUGCACCGUGUGGUGAAUUCCGUGUGUUGAUUCGUGUUUCCGGUUUUCCCCGUCUCGAUAGAUUUCCACAAGCGUGUCGGAUGUGAGGACCCGUUCGACUACGUCGGUUCGUCUACUUCAUGGAGACAUUCUUCUUCCAAGCGGGAUCUCAGGCAAGAUGAUCAUUUCCCCAGAUACCAUUACUAUCAUUGCCAUGCUAGUUUUAUCGUUUUUAUCGAUUAUGUCUCGUUGCCUACCACAUGUUAAAUACCAGCCUCUCAACAAUGCCAUGAAACCUUCAACCUGUUCGACCUAGCAAACCACUGAUUGGCUAUGUUACUGCUUGCUUAACCCUGUUGAUAGCGUUGCUAGUUGCAGGUGCAGUUGCUUCCAUGUGAAAACAUGGGUUCCUUGUUAUAUCACCAUAUUAAAUUUUUUUUAAUUUAAUGCACCUAUAUACUUGGUAAAAGGUGGAAGGCUCGGCCUUUCUAGCCUGGUGUUUUGUUCCACCUUUGCCCCCUUAGUUUCGGCUACCGGUGUUAUGUUCCAUAAUUGAGCGCUCCUAACACAAUCGGGGUUGUUAUGGGGACCCCCUUGAUAAUUCGUUUUAGAUUAAAGCUGGUCUGGCAAGGCCCAACAUUGGUUUUACAUUUGCCCAACAUAAUAAUUUGAUAAUACUGAAAUGCAUAGGGAGUUAGCGCUACCCGAGGAGUAAUUUUACAUAAACAGGAGGGGCCAGUGCUGAUGGUGUUGGUCCCAAACGGUCUGCCUGCGGGGCCACCGCGAGUAAACUCGAGGUUUGGCACUCGUAGCUAGUUCCAUCCGUCGUGUCCCGAGAACGAGAUACGCGGCUCCUAUCGGGUUCGUCGACACGUCGGGCGGCCUUGCUGGAUUAGUUUUACCUUUGACGAGAUAUCUUGUGCAUCGGGAUUCUGGUGAUGCUUUGGGUAAUCUCAGAGUUGAGGUUUUCCACUAGGGAAUCCGACGAGAUCGCGAGCUUCGUGAUGAGGAUUUCUAUGCGGCUUGUGGUAAUUUGUGAUGGACUAGUUGGAGCACCCCUGCAGGGUUAAAUCUUUCGGAAAGCCGUGCCCGCGGUUAUGUGGCAACGUGGAAACUUUGUUUAACACUGGUUCUAGAUAACUUGAAGUUAACUUAAAUAAGAUAUGCCAACUGUGUGCGUAACCGUGACUGUCUCUUUCGUGAGUUCUUACUCCGAUCGAGGACACGGUGGGGUUAUGUCUGACGUAGAUAGGUGUUCAGGAUCAUUCAUUUGAUCAUCAGUAGUUCACAUCCAUUAUGCGUAGAUCUUCCCCCUCUUAUUUCUUGUGCUCGUAAGUUUAGCCACCAAAUAUAUGCUUAGCCGCUGCUGCAACCUCACCACUUAACCUUACCUCACCCAUUAAGCUUUGCUAGUCUUGAUACCUUUGGAAAUGAGAUUGCCGAGUCCCCUGUGGCUCACAGAUUACUACAACACCAGUUACAGGUGCAGGUAAAGGUUACUUGACGUGAGCGCGUUGAUUGUUCAUUUGGAGUUGCCUCUUCUUCUUCUUCUUCAUCGAUCUAGGAUGGGUUCCAGGCCGGCAGCCUGGGAUAGCAAGGAUGGACGUCGUUCUUCUUUUCUCGUUUGUUUUUGUCCGUAGUCGGACCCUGCUCUUACUCUUGAUGAUUAUGUAAUGUACUGAUGCGACUCUGAUGUAGCAUGUGGCGAGUGUAAGCCAACUCUAUAUAUAUCUCUUCUGUUCAGUACAUGUACUUGUGACGAUAUCCAUUCUUGCGACACGACGAGAUGCGCUUCUAUCCCUGACGAGGCCCUCGUGCCAAAUUGAGGAUAUGGGCGGAUCUUGGGCGUGACAGGGUAUCUUCACCACGAAGGAAGCACGAGGAGUUGUUCCUCAACCUGAGGUACCUACUGAAAAUAUCUUUUAUGAAAUUCCUUCGGGUAUGCUUGAGAAAUUGCUGGCUAAUCCUGUUACAGGAGAUGGAUCUUCACAUCCAGACUUACAUCUAAUCUAUGUAGAUGAAGUUUGUGUUUUAUUUAAGCUUGCAGGUUUGCCCGAGGAUGAGGUAAGGAAGAAAGUCUUUCCUUUAUCUUUGAAGAAUAAGGCAUUGACAUGGUAUAGGCUAUGUGAUGAUACUGGGUCAUGAGGCUACAAUCGGUUGAAAUUGGAAUUUCAUAAAAAGUUCUAUCCUAUGCAUUUAGUACAUCGUGAUCGGAACUUUAUUUAUAACUUUUGGCCUCGUGACAGGGAAAGCAUAGCUCAAGCUUGGUGGAGGCUUACAUCAAUGCUAUAUUCAUGCUCCAAUCAUGAGCUCUCGAGAGAAAUCAUCACUCAAAACUUUUAUGCUCGGCUUUCUUAUGAAGAUCGUACCAUGCUUGACACUUCUUGUACCGGUUCUUUUAUGAAGAAGGAUAUUGAUCACAAGUGGAAUUUAUUGGAGAGAAUCAAACGCAACUCUGAAGAUUGGGAGCUGGAGGAAGGUAAGGAGUCAGGUAUAAAUUUCCAGUUUGAUUGCGUUAAAUCUUUUGUUGAGACAAACACUUCUAGAGAUUUUAGCGCUAAGUAUGGACUUGACUCUGAGAUAGUAGCUUCUCUAUGUGAAUCUUUUGCUGCUCAUGUUGAUCUUCCCAAAGAGAAGUGGUUUAAAUAUCAUCCUCCUGUAGAAAGCAACAUAGCCCAAACCAAUCUAGUUGAGGAGAAAAUCAUUGCUUUUAGUGAUCCUGUUGUUUCUUGUGCUUACACUGAGAAACCACCAUACCCUGCUAGGAUAAAGGAUUAUUCUAAAGCUCCAACUGUGAUACGUAGGGGGUACAUUAGACCACUUGCACCCCCUGAGGAGAUUAGAGUUGAACCUAGUGUUGCUAUUAUCAAAGAUCUCUUAGCCGAAGAGAUAGACGGGCAUGUUAUCAAAUUAUGUGAGGACUCCGCUAGAAUUGCUAAACCUCACGCGAAGGACAAACAUGGACCUGUAGUUGGCAUGCCCGUUGUUUCUGUCAAGAUAGGAGAUCACUGUUACCAUGGUUUAUGUGAUAUGGGAGCUAGUGUUAGUGCAAUACCCCGUUCUCUAUAUGAUGAAAUGAAAGAUGAGAUUGCACCUGCUGAGUUAGAACCCAUUGAUGUUACUAUUACACUAGCUAAUAUAGACACUAUCUGCCCUCUGGGAAUUGUGAGAGACGUAGAAGUCCUGUGUGGCAAGACGAAGUAUCCUACUGAUUUCCUCAUGCUUGGUACUGCAGAAGAUAGCUUUUGUCCCAUCAUAUUCGGUAGACCCUUUCUCAACACUGUCAAUGCUCACAUUGAUUGCAUUAAGCAGACCGUCACUGUUAGUUUCGAGGGUGUGUCUCAUGAAUUUAACUUCUCCAAGUUUCGAAGACAACCCCAUGAAAGAGAGUCGUCUGGUAGAGAUGAAAUCAUUGCUCUUGCCUCUAUUGCCGUACCUCCUACGGAUCCUUUAGAGCAAUAUCUGCUUGAGCAUGAAAAUGAUAUGCAUAUGGAGGAGAGAGAUGAGAUAGAUAAAAUUGUCUUAGAACAAUAUCCUAUUCUCAAGAAUAAUCUGCAUGUUGAACUGCUUGGGGAUCCUCCCCCACCAAAGGGUGAUCCUGUGUUCGAGCUUAAAUAGUUGCCUGAUACUCUUAAGUAUGCCUAUCUUGAUGAGAAGGAGAUAUAUCCUGUCAUUAUUAGUGCUCACCUCUCAAAGCACGAAGAGAAGAAGUUACUAAGAACUCUGAGGAAGCACCAUGGUGCUAUUGGAUAUACUCUUGAUGAUCUUAAGGGUAUUAGUCCUACUCUAUGUCAGCACAAGAUUAAAACUGAUCCUGACUUCAAACCAGUUGCUGCUCAUCAAAGGAGAUUGAAUCCUAAGAUGAAAGAGGUCGUUAGAAAAGAAAUAUUAAAGCUUCGGGAAGAAGGAAUCAUUUAUCCUGUUGCUCAUAGUGAUUGGGUAAGUCCAGUACAUUGCGUACCUAAGAAGGGAGGUAUCACCGUCGUUCCUAAUGAUAAGGAUGAACUAAUCCCACAAAGGAUUAUUACCGGCUAUAGGAUGGUGAUAGACUUCCGGAAACUGAACAAGGCAACCAGGAAAGAUCAUUAUCCUUUGCCAUUUAUCUACCAAAUGCUAGAAAGGCUAUCAAAGCACACACACUUUUGCUUUCUAGACGGUUAUUCAGGUUUCUCGCAGAUACACGUUGCACAAUCUGAUCAAGAGAAAACCACUUUCACCUGCCCUUUCGGUACCUUUGCCUAUAGACGUAUGCCUUUUGGCUUAUGCAAUGCACCUGCCACCUUCUAAAGAUGUAUGAUGGCUAUAUUCUCUGACUUUUGUGAAAAGAUUGUCGAGGUUUUCAUGGAUGACUUCUCCGUUUACGGGUCUUCCUUUGAUGAUUGCCUCAGCAACCUUGAUCGAGUCUUACAGAGAUGCGAAGAAACCAACUUCGUCUUGAAUUGGGAGAAGUGCCACUUUAUGGUUAAUGAAGGUAUCGUCUUAGGACACAAAAUCUCUAAAAGAGGCAUUGAAGUUGAUAAGGCUAAGGUUGAUGCAAUUGAGAAAAUGCCUUGCCCCACAGAUAUCAGAGGUAUACGAAGUUUCUUAGGUCAUGCUGGUUUCUAUAGAAGGUUCAUUAAAGACUUAUCUAAGAUUUCUAGGCCUCUUACCAACCUCUUGCAGAAGGAUGUUCCUUUUGUUUUUGAUGAGGAUUGUGAGGAAGCUUUCGAAAUACUUAAGAAGGCUUUGAUAACCGCACCUCUUGUUUGACCACCUGACUGGAACUUGCCCUUUGAAAUCAUGUGCGAUGCUAGUGAUUAUGAUGUUAGUGCUGUUCUAGGACAAAGAGUUGACAAGAAGUUGAAUGUUAUUCACUACGCUAGUAAAACUCUAGACAGUGCUCAAAGAAACUAUGCCACUACGGAGAAGGAAUUUUUAGGAGUCGUGUUUGCAUGUGAAAAGUUUAGAUCUUAUAUAGUUGACUCCAAAGUCACUAUUCACUCUGAUCAUGCUGCUAUUAAGUACCUUAUGGAGAAGAAGGACGCUAAGCCUAGACUGAUCAGAUAGGUUCUCCUGCUACAGGAAUUUGAUUUGCACGUCGUUGACCGAAAGGGUGCUGAUAACCCUGUAGCAGAUAACUUAUCUAGGCUAGAGAAUGUCCUUGAUGACCCACUACCUAUUGAUGACAGCUUUCCUGAUGAGCAACUAAAUGUCAUCCGCACUUCACAUAGUGCACCGUGGUAUGCCGAUUACGCAAAUUAUAUCGUAGCCAAAUACAUACCACCCAGUUUCACCUAUCAGCAAAAGAAGAAAUUCUUCUUUGAUUUGAGACACUACUUUUGGGAUGAUCCUCACCUUUAUAAGGAAGGAGUAGAUGGUGUUAUUAGACGUUGUGUGCCUGAACAUGAAUAGGGAGAGAUCUUGUAGAAGUGUCAUUCCGAAGGCUACAGAGGACACCAUGCUGGAGAUAGAACUGCCCAUAAGGUACUGCAAUCAGGUUUCUAUUGGCCCACUCUCUUCAAGGAUGCCCGUAAGUUUGUCUUGUCUUGUGAUGAAUGCCAAAGAAUAGGGAAUAUCAGUAAGCUUCAGGAAAUGCCUAUGAACUAUUCACUUGUCAUUGAACUAUUUGAUGUCUGGGGCUUUGAUUAUAUGGGACCCUUCCCAAGUUCCAAUGGGUACACUUACAUCUUAGUUGCUAUGGAUUACGUUACUAAGUGGGUAGAAGCUAUCCCCACUAAAAAUGAUGAUCACCACACCUCUAUUAAGAUGCUUAAAGAAGUCAUAUUCCCAAGAUUUGGAGUCCCUAGAUACUUGAUGACUGAUGGCGGUUCACACUUCAUUCAUGGUGUUUUCCGCAAGAUGCUAGCUAAGUAUGAUGUCAACCAUAGAGUUGCAUCUCCUUAUCAUCCUUAGUCUAGUGGUCAAGUGGAGUUGAGUAAUAGGGAGAUCAAGUUGAUCCUACAAAAGACCGUCAAUAGAUCUCGAAAGAAUUGGUCUAGCAAACUUGACGAUGCACUAUGGGCUUAUAGGACUGCUUAUAAGAAUCCCAUGGGCAUGUCACCAUAUAAAAUGGUUUACGGUAAGGCCUGUCAUUUACCUCUUGAGCUGGAACACAAAGCUUAUUGGGCAAUCAAAGAGCUCAACUUUGAGUUCAAACUUGCCGGUGAGAAGCGGUUGUUUGAUAUCAGCUCGUUAGAUGAAUGGAGAGCCCAGGCAUAUGAGAAUGCCAGGUUGUUCAAGGAAAAGGUUAAGAGAUGGCAUGACAAACGAAUACAGAAACAAGAGUUCAAUGUAGGUGAUUAUGUCUUGCUAUACAAUUCUCGUUUGAGAUUCUUUGCAGGCAAGCUUCUCUCUAAAUGGGAGGUCCCUAUGUUAUCGAGGAAGUAUAUCGUUUCGGUGCCACCAAAAUCAAUAACACGGAAGGAAAUUUUCCUAGAGUGGUAAAUGGGCAAAGAAUCAAGCAUUACAUCUCUGGUACUCCCAUAAAUGUUGAGACCAAUAUCAUCAAUGUAAUAACUCCAGAGGAGUACAUAAGGGAUGUUUAUUAGCGUGUUUCAGACCCUGAAAACGAAGAGCUAUCUGUUUCGGUAAGAAAUUGGACUCCGAUGCUUUUCCAAUAGGAAAUUUCUUAUGUUUUGGAAUUUUUGGAAAAUUAGAAAAAUAAAAAGCAGUCCAGAGAGCGAACGAGGCGGCCACAAGCCCUGCAACCGCCCCUACCCCCCUGGUGGCAGAGGGCAAGCUUGUGGGCACCUCGUGUGCCUCCCGGACUCCGUUUUCUUGCGGAGGACUCCUUCUAGCCCAGAAAAAAUCAAUAUAUACUCGCCCGAAGGUUUUGAUCUCCGUAUCGCGCAGUUUUCCUCUGUUUUCGUUUCGAGCUUGUUCUGCUGCAGAUCUAGGUCAAGAUGUCUUCUCAAGAUUCAGAGGGAGAGAGCUAUGUGGCUGACUACCUUGCUAACCCCAAGGUCUAUGGGGACUUGGAACCAUAUGGCUGGACCACUAAUGAGGAAGAGGACUAUAAGCCCAAAGGGAAGGAGCAAACGAGUUCCGAUGAAGAGGAGGCUCCUCUACCUUAACCUGCAAACACCCAUGUGGAGUUCAAGAAGUUAAGCCUCCCUGAUCAUAGGAAGAAGCCUAAGACCUUGUUUAUCCCUUCUCAUUUCUUGCAGGAGAGUAAGCAGGAACUUUGACAUAGAAUGUUGAAACUUGAGGAAGAAAAUGACGAUCUAAGGGAGCAGAACUUCUUGCUCAAGUGGAAAUUAGACAAGCUCAAGACUGCUCCAACAACACCACCAUCAGCACCGAAGGAAGACAACUAAGCAUUGGUAUGGGCAAUCCCCUUGGCUUCUGCCAAGCUUGGGGGAGUUGCCCUGGUAUCGUAUCACCUUUAUAUCUUUUGCUUUUACCUUUGUUUUAGUUAUUUCCUUUUCAAUUUUUAUUUCUUUUCUUAGAGGAAUAAGUCUUUAGUAUUUAGUUUGAGUCUUUUGCUUUUGCCUCUCCCCCGAUGUAUUCGAGCUCGCGAGCUAUAUAAUAAAGAGUGUCUUAGUCAAGGGCUUUGCUUUGUGCCAUGAUCAAAAGUAUGAAAAGAACGAUAGCAUGAAAGAUCAUGAGACGAUCUUAUCGAAAGUGAUAACUUCACUUAUGACUCGUAUGAUGAUUGAAACUUGUUGAGAAUAAAUCAACAUAGACCUCAGUCAUUGUUGCAAUUAAUAAGAAGUAAUAAGGAAAGAGAGGUUCACAUAUAAAUAUAUCAUCUUAGACACUUUUUACAAUUGUGAGCACUCACCAAACUAUUACAUGCUUAGGAGUAGAUGUUGGACAAGGAAGACAACAUAAUGAAUUGUGUUUGCUUGGUUCCAAACAAUGUUAUAUGAUUAGAGAUCCCUUAGCAUGUGACGAUUGCUUCCACCUAAUAUUAGCCAAAACUCCCGCACCAAGUAGAGAUACUACUUGUGCAUCCAUAAACCUCCAACCCAGUUUUGCCAUGAGAGUCCACCAUACCUACCUAUGGAUUGAAUAAGAUCCUUCAAGUAAGUUGUCAUCGGUGCAAGCAAUAAAAAUUGCUCUCUAAUAUGUAUGAUCUAUUAGUGUGUGGAACAUAAGAUUUGUACGAACCUGUGAUGAGGAAGACAUAAAAGCGACAGACUGCAUAAUAAAAUUCUUUAUCAUAGGAGGCAAUAUAAAGUGACGUUCCUCCGCACUAAGAGGAUACGCAUUCAAACCUCAAAAGCGCAUGACAACCUCUGCUUCCCUCUGCGAAGGGCCUAUCUUGUACCUUUACUUUUUGCCGUUGUAAGAGUCAUGGUGAUCUUCACCAAUUCCCUAUUUUUGCCUUUGUCUUGGCUACCGUCACAUGCUUGGGAAAGAUCCAUAUUCAUAUAUCAACUUGGAGUUGAGUACUUAUGCUUUAUUACUGUUGACUUUACCCUUGAGGUAAAUAGUUGCGAGGCAAAACUAUAAGCCCCUAUCUUCCUUUGUGUUCAACUGAAACUCUGACACCAUGAGUACCACGUGAGUUGUAACAAUUGUGGAAAACAAAAGAGAUGAUUGAGUAUGUGGAUUUGCCUUACAAGCUCUUAUUUGACUCUUUCUGAUGUUGUGAUAAAUUGCAAUUGCUUCAAUGACUAUGGUUUAUUGUUGGUUACUUCUCGCUAAGGUUUUUGCUUCAUACUUUGCUUUGUGAAGGAAUUGUUACUUUCCCAUAAGAAUCUUUAUGAUGUAUUGUUGUUCUAUGUGUGAUCAUGAUGCCCUCAUGUCCGUAUUAUGUUUUAUCGACACCUUCGUCCCUCAACAUGUGGACAUGUUUAUGGAACUUGGUUUUCGCUUGAGGACAAGCGAGGUCUAAGCUUGGGGGAGUUGAUACGUCCAUUUUGCAUCAUGCUUUCAUGUUGAUAUUUAUUGUUUUAUGGGCUGUUAUAUUACUUGUGGUACCAUAUUUAUGCCUUUUAUCUCUUAUUUUGCAAGGUUUAUUUGAAGAGGGAGAAUUCCGGUAGCUGGAAUUCUGGACUCGAAAAGGAGCAAAUCUUAGUCCACUAUUCUGCACAUCUCGAAAUGCUCUGAAAAGUUACGUGGAUUUUUUGGGAUUAUAUAAAAAAUAUUGGGUGAAAGAACUACCGGAGGGGGGUUGCCAGGCCGCCACAAGCCCUGACACCGCCACCCCCUGGUGGCCGAGUGGGGGCUUGUGGGCUCCCUCACGGCCCACUAGCCCCCUCUUUUGCUAUAUGAAGGGUCUUGGUCCAGAAAAAAAAAAUCAAUAGGGAGCUUUUUCAUGGUUUCGUCGCCGCCACGAGGCGGAACUUGAGCAGAUCCAAUCUAGAGCUCCGGCAGGACGAUCCUGCCGGGGAAACUUCCCUCCCGGAGGGGGAAAUCGUCGCCAUCGUCAUCACCAACACUCCUCUCGUCGGAGGGGAGGCAUCUUCAUCAACAUCUUCAUCAGCACCAUCUCCUCUCCAAUCCCUAGUUCAUCUCUUGUAAUCAAUCUCCAUCUCACGACUCCGAUUGGUACUUGUAAGGUUGCUAGUAGUGUUGAUUACUCUUUGUAGUUGAUGCUAGUUGGACUACUUGGCGGAAGAGUUUAUGUUCAGAUCCUUGAUGCCAUUUAUUACACAUCUGAUCAUAAUUAUGAUUAUGUUUUGUGAGUAGUUACUUUUGUUCCUAAGGACAUGGGAUAAGUCAUGUUAAUAAUAGUCAUGUGAAUUUGAUAUUCGUUCGGUAUUUUGAUAUGUUGUAUGUUGUCUUUUCCUCUAGUGGUGUUAUGUGACGUCGACUACAUAACACUUCACCAUAUUUGGGCCUAGAGGAAGGCAUUGGGAAGUACUAAGUAGAUGAUGGGUUGCUGGAGUGACAGAAGCUUAAACCCCAGUCUAUGCGUUGCUUCGUGAGGGGCUGAUUUGGAUCCACUAGUUUAAUGCUAUGGUUAGACUUUGUCUUAAUUCUUCUUUUAUAGUUGCGGAUGCUUGCGAGAGAGGUUAAUCAUAAGUGGGAUGCUUGUCCAAGUAAGGGCAGUACCCAAGCGCCGUUCCACCCACAUAUCGAACUAUCAAAGUAACGAACGCGAAUCAUAUGAACAUGAUGAAACUAGCAUGACAAAAAUUCCCGUGUGUCCUCGGGAGCGUUUUUCCUCCUAUAAGACUUUGUUCACGCUUGUCCCUUGCUACAAAAGGGAUUGGGCCACUUGCUGCACCGUUGCUACUACUUUUGACUUGUUACUUUUUGCUUGCUACGUUUCACCUCGCUACACAAUCACUUGUUACCGCUACUUUCAGUGCUUGCAGUUAUUACCUUGCUGAAAUCUGUUUAUCACAACCUUCUGCUCCUCGUUGGGUUUGACAAUCUUACUUAUCGAUAGGACUACGAUUGAUCCCCUAUACUUGUGGGUCAUCAUGCGCCAUUACUAACGUCACACAGACCACCCCCCCCCCCGUGGAUCGCCUUUUAGGUUUUUAAAAAAAUAAAAGAAAAUGAUAAAAGAUUCAAAAAAAAUAGAUGCCCAUGUGUUAUGUGUUCUAGUUAUUAGGAAAAUUAACAAACAUGAAUUUUGAAUUUUUUUUUUUGCAAAAGGGCGCCGUGUUUCGGUAAAAUGGCAGUAACUUUUGCAUACGACCUCCGAUGAAAAAGUUUUUUAUAUGUGUACUCGAAAAGUUGCAUCCGAAUUCAACCGGGGGAACAUUGUUCAAAAUUUUUAGAAUCCCAAAAACCUAACAGAAAAAAAGUUAUGAUGCUUUUAAGAUUUGGAGGAUAUCAAAACUUUGAGUAGUAAUGAAAUUACUACUUUGGAUUUAUCUUUGCUUUUUUGCUUUCUGUUUUGUUGUGCCCACACCAUCAUAAUUCUGUUAUGAUUGUGCUUUUUGUGUUUCAGUUUGUGUUUGAGCCAAGUAAAACCUCUAUGACUAGUUUUGGUGAUGGUUGUUUGAUCUUACUGAAAAAGACAGAAACUUUGCGCUCACGGAAUUAUUUUUCAUUCCUAUCCAGAAAGAGAUUUUGAGUUGAUUCUUUUUGCUGCUGGUUGAUAUUCCAAUUGCCCAAAUUUUCAUAAUUUUUCAUAAUUUUUGAGAUACCAGAAGUAUAUGAAGAAUACAGAUUUCUACAGACUCGUCUGUUUUGACAAAUUCUGUUUUUGUUGUAUUGAUUGCUUAUAUUGAUGAAACUAUGGAUAGUAUCGGGGGUAAUAGCCAUGGAAAAGUGAGAAUACAGUAAUCUAAUACCAAUAUAAAUAGAAAUCAAGUUUGCUACAUUACCUAAAGAGUUGGUAGUUUGUUUUCUUGUGUUAAUGAUAUCACGAGUUUCUAUUUAAGUUUUCUGUUGUGAAGUUUUCAAGUUUUGGGUGAUGUUUUCAUGGACAAUGGGAUAAAGAGUGGAAAGAGAUCAAGUUUGGGGAUGCCCACCCCCCACCAGACAUAGCAAUGGAGCACCACACCUAGGUGCGCCAUUGCUAUGCUACAUAGGAGUGGCGCACCUAGGCGUGGUGCGCCAUUCCUAUUUUUUGGUCCAUCCCACCCACCAGACAUAGCAAUGGCGCACCUCACCUAGGUGCGCCACAUCUAUGCUACAUAGUAGUGACGCACCUAGGUGUGGUGCGCCAUUACUAACGUCACACAAACACAAACACCCCCCCCCUGUGGGUCGACUUUUAGAUUUUUUGAGAAAUAAAAGAAAAUGAUAAAAGAUUCAAAAAAAAUUCAAAAAAAUAGAUGCCCGUGUGUUAUGUGUUCUAGUUUUUAGGAAAAUUAACAAACAUGAAUUUUGAUUUUUUUUUGCAAAAGGCCGCCGUGUUUCGGUAAAAUGGCCGUAACUUUUGCAUACGACCUCCGAUGAGAAAUUUUUUUAUAUGAAAAAUCAUCUACUCGAAAAGUUACAUCCAAAUUCAUCUAGGGGAACCCCGUUGAAGAUUUUUAGAAUCCCCAAAAACCUAACAGAAAAAAAGUUAUGAUGCUUUUAAGAUCUGGAGGAUAUCAAAACUGUGAGUAGUAAUGAAAUUACUGCUUUGGAUUUCAAGGAGUUCAAUUAUGAUAGUUGCUCUUUGAUUGAAUGUAUUUCCUUGAUGCAAUCCAUGCUAAACUCUCCACACGCUUAUAGUCAAAACAAGGCCUUUACCGAUCAUUUCGUCGAUGCUAUGGUGAAAUCUCUUAAAGAGAAACUUGAGUUGGAAGUUUCUAUCCCAAGAACUUCAUGAUGAGUGGGAACCUACUAUCAAAAUUAAGAUCAAAAACUAUGAAUGCAAUGCUUUGUGUGAUUUGGGUGCUAGUGGUUCCGCUAUUCCAAAGUCUUUAUGUGAUGUUCUAGGCUUCAAUGAGAUUGAUGAGUGCUCUCUUAAUUUGCAUCUUGCGGAAUCUACUGUUAAGAAGCCCAUGAGAAGGAUCAAUGAUGUUCUUAUUCUUGCAAAUAGGAACUAUGUACCCGUGGAUUUCAUUGUGCUUGAUAUUGAUUGCAAUCCGACGUGUCCUAUCAUUCUUGGUAGACCUUUCCUAAGGACUAUUAGUGCUUUCAUCGAUAUGAAGGAAGGGAAUAUUUGAUAUCAAUUUCCAUUAAAGAAGGGCAUGGAACAUUUUCCUAGAAAUAAAUAAGAUUGCCUUAUGAAUCCAUGAUGAGUGCUACUUAUGGUUUGAGCACCAAAGACGACGAUACGUGAUUCUAUCGCCUUAUGCCUAGCUAAGGGCGUUAAACAAUAGCGCUUGUCGGGAGGCAACCCAAUGAAUUUAUCUUUGCUUUUUUGCUUUCUGUUUUGUUGUGUCCACACCAUCAUAAUUCUGUUAUGAUUGUGUUUUUUGUGUUUCUUUUUAUGUUUGAGCCAAGUAAAACCUUUAUGACUAGUUUUGGUGAUGGUUGUUUGAUCUUGCUGAAAAAGACAGAAACUUUGCACUCACAAAAUUAUUUUUCAUUCCUAUCCAGAAAGAGGUUUUGAGUUGAUUCUUUUUUAUGCUGGUUGAUAUUCCAAUUUCCCAAGUUGUCAUCAUGUUUCAGAAUUUUUGAGAUACCACAAGUAUAUGAAGUAUACAGAUUUCUAGAGACUAGUCUCUUUUUGACAGAUUCUGUUUUUUGUUGUGUUGAUUGCUUAUUUUGAUGAAACUAUGGAUAGUAUCGGGGGUACUAGCCAUGGAAAAGUGAGAAUACAGUAAUCUAACACCAAUAUAAAUAGAAAUCAAGUUUGCUACAGUAUCUAAAGAGUUGGUAGUUUGUUUUCUUGUGCUAAUGAUAUCACGAAUUUCUCUUUAAGUUUUGUGUUGUGAAGUUUUCAAGUUUUGGGUGACGUUCUCAUGGACAAUGGGAUAAAGAGUGGAAAGAGCUCAUGCUUGGGGAUGCCCACCCCCACCAGACAUAGCAAUGGUGCACCACACCUAGGUGCUCCACUGCUAUGCUACAUAGUAGUGGCACACCUAGGCGUGGUGCGCCAUUGCUACUUUUUGGUCCAUCCCCCCCCACCACACAUAGCAAUGGGGCACCACACCUAGGUGCGCCAUUGCUAUACUACAUAGUAGUGGCGCACCUAGGUGUGAUGCGCCAUUACUAACAUCACACAGACACAAUACCCCCCUCCCCCCCCUUGGAUCGCCUUUUAGGUUGUUAAAAAAUAAAAGAAAUGAUAAAAGAUUCAAAAAAAUAGAUGCCCGUGUGUUAUGUGUUCUAGUUGUUAGGAAAAUUAACAAACAUGAAUUUUGAUUUUUGUUUGCGAAAGGCCAUCGUGUUUCAAUAAAAUGGCCGUAACUUUUGCAUACGACCGUCGAUGAAAAAGUUUUUUUAUAUGAAAAAUCAUCUACUCAAAAAGUUACAUCCGAAUUCAACCGAGGGGACCCGAUUGAUGAUUUUUAGAAUCCCCAAAAACCUAACAGAAAAAAAGUUAUGAUGCUUUUAAGAUCUGAAGGAUAUCAAAACAUUGAGUAGUAAUGAAAUCACUACUUUGGAUUUCAAGGAGUUCAAAUAUGAUAGUUGCUCUUUGAUUGAAUGUAUUUCCUUGAUGCAAUCCAUGCUAAACUCUCCACACGCUUAUAGCCAAAACAGGGCCUUUACCGAUCAUAUCGUCGAUGCUAUGAUGAAAUCUCUUGAAGAGAAACUUGAGUUGGAAGUUUCUAUCCUUAGAAAACUUCAUGAUUAGUGGGAACCUACUAUCAAAAUCAAGAUCAAAAACUAUGAAUGUAAUGCUUUGUGUGAUUUGGGUGCUAGUGUUUCCGCUAUUCCAAAGUCUUUAUGUGAUGUUCUAGGAUGAAAUAAGAUUGAUGAGUGCUCUCUUAAUUUGCAUCUUGCGGAUUCUAUUGUUAAGAAACCCAUGGGAAGGAUCAAUGAUGUUCUUAUUAUUGCAAAUAGGAACUAUGCACCCGUGGAUUUCAUUGUGCUUGCUAUUGAUUGCAAUCCGACGUGUCCUAUCAUUCUUGGUAGACCUUUCCAAAGGACUAUUGGUGCUGUCAUUGAUAUGAACGAAGGGAAUAUUAGAUUUCAAUUUACAUUAAAGAAGGGCAUGGAACAUUUUCCUAGAAAGAAAAUAAGGUUGCCUUAUGAAUCCAUGAUGAGGGCUACUUAUGGUUUGAGCACCAAAGACGACGAUACGUGAUUCUAUCGCCUUAUGCCUAGCUUAGGGCGUUAAACAAUAGCGCUUGUUGGGAGGCAACCCAAUGAAUUUAUCUUUGCUUUUUUGCUUUCUGUUUUGUUGUGUCCACACCAUCAUAAUUUUGUUAUGAUUGUGUUUUUUGUGUUUCUUUUUGUGUUUGAGCCAAGUAAAACCUUUAUGACUAGUUUUGGUGAUGGUUGUUUGAUCUUGCUGAAAAAGAAAGAAACUUUACGCUCACGAAAUUAUUUUUCAUUCCUAUCCAGAAAGAGCUUUUGAGUUGAUUCUUUUUGCUGCUUGUUGAUAUUCCAAUUGCCCAAAUUUGCAUAAUUGUUCAGAAUUCUUGAGAUAACAGAAGUAUAGGAAGUAUACAGAUUUCUACAGACUGGUCUGUUUUUGACAGAUUCUGUUUUUGUUGUGUUAAUUGCUAAUUUUGAUGAAACUAUGGAUAGUAACGGGGGUACUACCCAUGGAAAAGUGAGAAUACAGUAAUCUAACACCAAUAUAAAUAGAAAUGAAAUUUGCUACAGUACCUAAAGAGUUGGUAGUUUGUUUUCUUGUGCUAAUGAUAUCACGAGUUUCUGUUUAAGUUUUGUGUUGUGAAGUUUUCAAGUUUUGGCUGAUGUUCUCAUGGACAAUGGGAUAAAGAGUGGAAAGAGCUCAAGCUUGGGGAUGCCCACCCCCCACCAGACAUAGCAAUGGUGCACCACACCUAGGUGCGCCACUGCUAUGCUACAUAGUAGUGGCACACCUAGGCGUGGUGCCCCAUUGCUAUUUUUUUUGGUCCAUCCCCCCCCCCCCACCGAGACAUAGCAAUGGCGCACCACACCUAGGUGCGCGAGUGCUAUGCUAUAUAGUAGUGGCGCACCUAGGUGUGGUGCGCCAUUACUAACGUCACACAGACACACACACCCCCUAGAUUGCCUUUUAGGUUUCCUAAAAAAUAAAAGCAAAUGAUAAAGUUUCAAAAAAAUAGAUGCCCAUGUGUUAUUUGUUUUAGUUGUUAGGAAAAUUAACAAACAUGAAAUUUGAUUUUUUUUUGGCAAAAGGUCGUCGUGUUUUGGUAAAAUGGCCGUAACUUUUGCAUACGACCUCCGAUGAAAACUUUUUUAUAUGAAAAUCAUCUACUCGAAAAAGUUACAUCCAAAUUCAACCAGGGGAACCCCGUUGAAGAUUUUUAGAAUCCCAAAAACCUAAAAAAAGUUAUGAUGAGUUACAUCCGAAUUCAACCACGGGAACCCCAUUGAAGAUUUUUAGAAUCCCCAAAAACCUAAUAAAAGUUAUGAUGCUUUUAAGAGGUGGAGGAUAUCAAAACUUUGAGUAGUAAUGAAAUUACUACUUUGGAUUUCAAGGAGUUCAAUUAUGAUAGUUGCUCUUUGAUUGAAUGUAUUUCCUUGAUGCAAUCCAUGCUAAACUCUCCACACGCUUAUAGCCAAAACAAGGCCUUUACCGAUCAUAUCGUCAAUGCUAUGAUGAAAUCUCUUGAAGAGAAACUUGAGUUGGAAGUUUCUAUCCCUAGAAAACUUCAUGAUGAGUGGGAACCUACUAUCAAAAUCAAAAUCAAAACUAUGAAUGCAAUGCUUUGUGUGAUUUGGGUGCUAGUGUUUCCACUAUUCCAAAGUAUUUAGGUGAUGUUCUAGGAUUCAAUGAGAUUGAUGAGUGCUCUCUUAAUUUGCAUCUUUCGGAUUCUACUAUUACGAAACCCAUGGGAAGGAUCAAUGAUGUUCUUAUUAUUGCAAAUAGGAACUAUGUACCCGUGGAUUUCAUUGUGCUUGAUAUUGAUUGCAAUCCGACGUGUUCUAUCAUUCUUGGUAGACCUUUCCUAAGGACUAUUGGUGUUGUCACCGAUAUGAAGGAAGGGAAUAUUAGAUUUAAAUUUACAUUAAAGAAGGGCAUGGAACAUUUUCCUAGAAAGAAAACAAGAUUGCCUUAUGAAUCCAUGAUGAGGGCUACUUAUGGUUUGAGCACCAAAGACGACGAUAUGUGAUUAUAUCGCCUUAUGCCUAGGUAAGGGCGUUAAACAAUAGCGCUUGUUGGUAGGCAACCCAAUGANNNNNNNNNNNNNNNNNNNNNNNNNNNNNNNNNNNNNNNNNNNNNNNNNNNNNNNNNNNNNNNNNNNNNNNNNNNNNNNNNNNNNNNNNNNNNNNNNNNNGAAUUCAUUGUGCUCAACCCAGAGACUGCCAUGGUUGUUUCCCCUCCCAUUCCUCAGCACAAUCUCAAUCCAGUUCAGCGCCUGCCAUUCUCAAAGCGGCCAAAGUUUUAGAAAGAGAAUUUCUUUGAGGAACGCAUGUAUUUCAUCGGAGAGAGUCCUUAUGACAAGCCUCAAAUGAGGCAUCUGAAGUUUUGGACAAGGACUCAGAUGAACUACUAUGCUUCUGUGCUCUGUGGCCGCAACAAGAUAUUCCAGAACAAGCACAUUCCUCAUGAUGAACUUGAAGAGAUUCCCUGCAUGGAACCAGUCCUCAGUGUACUACAUGAUGCAGGUUUGCUCCCUAUGUGCUCCGACAUAUCAGAUUGGAAUAGUGAGCUAAUUCUUCAGUUCUAUUCAACUCUGCACAUCUCGGGCAAUGCUGAUGACAUCAACACUUGGGUGUUCGACUGGAUGACCCAAAAUACUCACUACAAGGCUCCAGCGUCUGAACUCCUCAGAGAACUGCCCGUACCAAUUCCUUCAGAAGGGGCAGUGAAGCUUUAUGGUGAGCGUGAGCUGCCAAAUGGAAUGAUGGAAGUCCUCAUGAAGCCUUUGGCUGCAAGAAAACCCUCAAGAACCACAUUCCUCGUCCAUGAGCUCAAGUACACACCCCGGACUGUCUACCGCAUUCUCUGCAGUGUGCUAGCGCCAAUCAAAGGCCAUGAUUAUGACGAAGAUGUCGUCGGCCUCAUGAAGAAUAUCCUCUUCAACAUCAUUCACGGUAUCCCCAUGAAUAUCCAUGAUUUCUUCUUGAGGACUUUGGCUGACAAUGCAAUGUGCCCAUAUGAUCACAAAAUUUAUGCACCAUGGAUCAUGAGAUUCCUCAGGACAAGGACAUGCAUCAACUUUCAUGCAGAUUUCCAGAACCAUGUUGGUUAUAUGCCUCCUAUCCGGGUCAACAAGAAGACUUUCGAGCCCAUUGAGGGAAAAGGAAAGUCUAUGAUUGAUGAAGGCAGCAGUCCUCUUGAUGGUCAAUUUAAAGAGCCAGAUGCAUAUUCCUCAUUGGACGAUACUGAGACUCGUUCGCCAAGCCCAGUUCCUCCUCGCGUGCUAAACACCAGAGAGCUUCUUCUCAGUCUUCAUCAGAAGGUGGAUCACAACCACAAAUGGGUCAAACGCCAGUUUGGUGCCAUUGUGAAAACCCUCACUGAGACACAGAACAGUGUGAAGCUUAAUCAUCACUAUCUGCAUGAGGUUUUUGAUCGCACCUGGGCUACCCUUGCACAUCUGAAGACCCAGACUGAGCUUGAAGAAUUGAACUUUGAGCAGGACUUUGACUGGUCGUGGCCUCCCAAGAAGAAGUUCAGGCCCAUUCCAGUGCCAGAUCUUGAAGACAGCUCCUUCUCGUCCUUCCGCACUGCCGAAUCUGAUGAGGAACAACUUGACACCGCAACAGGCCCAAGGAAGAAGACUACACCCAAGAAGCGCCAAGGAUCUUCAUCAACUGCCACGAAAUGAAGUCUUCACGGGCGUUAGUCCUUAGUUUGUCCCUUUUUUUGUCACUUGAUGACAAAGGGGGAGAAAUUUGAGAGUUAGUCUUCAAACGGGGUUUUUUUUGGGGCUUAUGAACUAUAUUUAAGUUACAAACUCUUGGCUCUUCUGAAGUUUUUAUGUAAUGAGUUGUAACUUAAGCCCGAUGGUACUCUGACGCUUUUGAACGUUUUUCUUCGCAUGCUUAUUCCUCAAGUUUUAAUGCACGCAUGCUGAAAUUCGUCAGAUACCAUUUGCCAUCAUGCAUCUUCAUUUUCUUCAUAUAAUAUGUUAUAUGUAUGCAUGAUUUACAAGAUUCAGGGGGAGAUCUCCAUGAUAUAAAUCAUCAAUGUGCAUAUGCUAUAAAAGCAAAAUCCUCAAGGUAUGCACAUCUUCAGGGGGAGUCUCUGUGAAUCUUGUUUUCAAAUUCCUCAAAUGAGUAUUUACACUUCAUAUUUUUGAUCCCUGUUGAAGACUUAACCUAAUUGUCAUCAACCACCAAAAAGGGGGAGAUUGUAAGUGCAUCUAGUGCCCCUUACUGAUUUUGGUGGUUUGAAGACUUAUAGGUUAAGUAUCUAAUGUGUUUAUAAGUGUACACAGGAUCUAUAAGUCAUUGAGGAGUUUGAGAUAUUUGAAGAAUAUCGACCCCUAAAAAUAUAUGUCUUCAAUUGAAGAAAUUGGUCUGAAGCUGAAGAAAUGAAUCGCGAAGAAUUUGCGAUGAAAUGGAUAUUCCUCAUGAAGAUAUUGAUAUUGAGAAGAUCGGUGGUUCCUGAAGAAAAUCGUUCUGAAGAAAUUGAAGCAUGAAGAUUUACGUUUUCUGUUUCACUUUCUUCGCAUUUGAUGAAUAGGAACACCGUACUGUUAAAGGGGGUCAAAGUAACGCUAUGGAAUGAAUUUCCUCAUGAUGCUCAACCCAAGCCAAAUACUACCAAAAGCCUCAAGUGAGAAAUAUGAGUGACAUGAGGACUCUCACAGUUGAGAGUCCCGACCGUUUCGAUAAGCCAUGCCAAGUCACUGAUCUUAUCCACUCCAACGGUCAUAUUAUUUAAGGGCAUUAAUGUCAAAUCAUGUCGGGAUGCUCCCAGGCUAUAAAUAGCCGCCCCCCACAACCACUAGCUGGUUGGCUGCUCCGUUAGAAACUGACACUUGUCAUAAGAGCAACCCAAAUUCCUCAGAGCUUUCGAGAGUAAAUCAUCAGUGAGGAAAUACACCACCCACCGAAACCACAAACCAAACCUAGUGAUUGAGCAUCACUGAAGAAGUUGUUCCUGUGUGGGACUGAAGCCUUUUACCUUUGAGGACUGUGCAUCCUCCAGACGGUUAGGCGUCAUGGUCUAGAGCAAUCCAGCAGUCAAUUGUGGAUCGCCGGGUGACCGAGUUUGUGAGGGUUUGGAAGUCUGCCCUGAAGACUUACCACGAGUGUUGGGCGAGGACCGUGUGUCCUUAGCUCAAGGAGAGUACGGUAGGGACUGUGUGUCCCGGGACUGGGUGUCCUUUGGAUUAAAUACCAAGCCGCUCCAAACCAGAUGUACAACUGUCACAGCAGUUGGAACUGGGUCAUCAACAACAGUCUUCACCAAGAAUCGGGUUCUAAUUCCUCAACUCUUUACAUUCUCUGUAUUAUGUGUUGAUGACAUUCACUGUGACUGUUUGAAGAAUUUGCUGAAGACUUUCUCUGAAUUUCCUCAACUCCAAAUUCUUCACUUGAGUUAAUCAUCAUCUGUUUUCUGCGUGCCUGCUUACUGUGCAAUCUGUUUUCAUAAUCUUCACUCUGUAAUACUGCUGUUGUGAACGAUUGCACGACUGAUCCUUAACUGUUUCCGCUGUAAGUUAGUCAUCAGUGAGGAAUUUCCUCAAAAGGAAUUUCCUCAGUGAUGAAAUUCUAAAAAUCUCCUAUUCACCCCCUCUAGUCGAUAUAACGCACUUUCAACCAUGCGGGAGAUAGAACUGCACACAAGGUAUUGCAAUGAGGUUUCUAUUGGCCCACUCUCUUCAAGGAUGCCCGUAAGUUUGUCUUGUCUUGUGACGAAUGUCAAUGAAUAGGUAAUAUUAGCAAACGUCAGGAAAUGCCUAUGAACUAUUCAUUUGUCAUUGAACCAUUUGAUAUUUGGUGCUUUGAUUAUAUGGGACCUUUUCCAAAAUCCAACGGGUAUACUCAUAUCCUAGUUGCUGUGGAUUACGUCACUAAGUGGGUAGAAGCUAUCCCCACUAGUAGUGUUGAUCACAACACCUCUAUCAGGAUGCUGAAAGAAGUUAUCUUCCCUAGAUUUGGAGUCCCUAGAUAUCUAAUGACCAACGGUGGUUCACACAUCAUUCAUGGUGCUUUCCGUAAAACGCUUGCUAAGUACGAUGUCAACCAUAGAAUUGCAUCUCCCUAUCACCCUCAGUCCAGUGGUCAAGUAGAGCUAAGUAAUGGAGAGAUUAAACUGAUUCUGCAAAAGAUUGUCAACAGGUCUAGAAAGAAUUGGUCUAAGAAGCUCGAUGAUGCACUGUGGGCUUAUAGAACUGCCUAUAAGAAUCCCAUGGGCAUGUCUCCGUACAAAAUGGUGUACGGUAAAGCAUGUCAUUUACCUCUUGAGCUAGAGCAUAAAGCUUAUUGGGCAAUCAAAGAGCUCAACUUUGAUUUCAAACUUGCCGGUGAGAAGAUGUUAUUGGAUAUUAGCUCGCUUGAUGAGUGGAGAACUCAGGCAUAUGAGAAUGCCAAGCUGUUCAAAGAGAAGGUUAAGAGGUGGCAUGAUAAGAGGAUACAAAAGCAUGAGUUCAACGUAGGUGAUUAUGUCUUGCUAUAUAACUCUCGUUUAAGAUUCUUUGCAGGCAAGCUUCUCUCUAAAUGGGAAGGUCCCUAUGUUGUUGAGGAAGUAUAUCGUUCCGGUGCUAUCAAGAUCAACAACACGGAAGGUAAUUGUCCGAGAGUGGUAAAUGGGCAGAGAAUCAAGCAUUAUAUCUCAGGUACUCCCAUAAAUGUUGAAAGCAAUAUUAUCAAUACAUAACUCCGAAAGAAUACCUAAGGGAUAUUUAUCAGCCUGUUUCAGUCUCCGAAAACGAAGAGGUAUGUGAUUCGAUAAGAAAACAGAGUCCAAAACUUUUCUAGUAGGAAAUUUUCUCCAUUUUGGAAUAUUUGAAAAAAAUACAAAAAUUGGAAGUAGUCUGGAAAGUGCGCGAGGAGGCGACAAGCCUGCACGGCACGGGCCCACCCCCUGGUCACGCCGUGAGGGCUUGUGGCCACCUCAUGCGCCUCCCGGCCUCCGUUUUCGUGCGGACUCCUUCUGGUCUAAAAAAAUCAUUAUAUAUACUCCCGUCUGGUCUGACCCCUGCAUCACGCAGAUUCCCUCUGUUUUUCUUUUCGAGCCUGUUUCUCUUGCAGAUCUAGAUCGCUAUGACUUCCCAAAAGCUAUGAAGGACAAGAUCUUCGAGAAGGUCAUCAAUCCCUACCUCACGGGAGUGCUGCAACACCCUCAAUCUAUCGAGAUGCGUGAGGGGAUGUUGCACAUCUGUGAUGUUGAGGGGCCUAAGAAGAUCGGAAGCAUGGAGACGAGGCUCGAAGCAGUGGAGCAACAAGUCUUCAAGUGCCAAGGGAUGGUGGAGCGUGGACUCAACGCCAACCACGUGAUGAUCAUGGAGUUCACCAACAAGCACAGGAUUGAUGCCAAUAACAUUGGGAAGCAUCUCUCCAGGCUCUAUGACAGGAUUGAUCAACUCCAGGCCCAGAUCUAUGACCUGCAAAACCAAAAUUGUGAGUAUGAGUAUAGAUUUAAAUCAAUACGGUUGGCUACAGAUUUGAGGAUUCCGGAGACUCGUUCAUCUUUCCAUGAUGGAGCACCUAUGCCUUGGAAGACGGAUGAUCAAACUCAUGUUGCAACAACUCCACCUUCACCACCAAAGGAAGACACCUGAGCAUUGGUAUGGGCAAUCCCCUUGGCUUGUGCCAAGCUUGGGGGAAUUGCCCCGGUAUCGUAUCACCAUCACAUCUUUUGCCUUUACCUUUGUUUUAGUUUUCCUUUUCAGUUUUAUCUUUCUCUAGUACAUUAAAAGUCUUAGUGUUUUAGUCUUGAGUUUUGCUUUGUGUCACCCCCGAUGUAUUCGAGCUCGUGAGCCAUAUAAUAAAGAGUGUCUUAGUUGAAGGGCUUUGCUUCUUGCCAUGAUCAAAAGAGUGAGAAUAGAACAAAAGCAUGAAAGAUCAUGUAAUGAUCUUAUGGGAAGUGAUGGCUUCACAUAUAAAAAGGAUGAGGAUUGAAACUUGUUGAGGGUAGGCAAACGUAGACCUUGGUCAUGGUUGCAAUUAAUAGGAAGUGAUAAAGAAGGAGAGGUUCACAUAUAAAUAUAUCAUCUCUCACACCAUCUAUGAUUGUGAACACUCACUAAACUAUUACAUGCCUAGAAGUAGAUGUUGGACAAGGAAGACAACAUAAUGAAUUGUGUUUGCUUGGUUCCGAACAAUGAUAUAUGAUUAGAGAUCCCUUAGCAUGUGAUGAUUGCUUCCACCUCAUAUUAGCCAAAACUCCCGCACCAAGUAGAGAUACUACUUGUGCAUCCAUAAACCAUCAACCCAGUUUUGCCAUGUGAGUCCACCAUACCUACCUAUGGAUUGAAUAAGAUCCCUCAAGUAAGUUGUCAUAGAUGCAAGCAAUAAAAAUUGCUCUCUAAUAUGUAUGAUCUAUUAGUGUGUGUAAAAUAAGCUUUGUACGAACCUGUGAUGAGGAAGACAUAAAGGUGACAGACUGCAUAAUAAAGUUCUUUAUCACAGGAGGCAAUAUAAAGUGACGUUCCUCCGCACUAAGAGGACAUGCAUCCAAACCUCAAAAGCGCAUGACAACCUCUGCUUCCCUCUACGAAGGGCCUAUCUUGUACCUUUACUUUUUUCCCUUGAAAGAGUCAUGGUGAUCUUCACCAAUUCCUUAUUUCGCCUUUGUCUUGGCUAAUGUCAUAUGCUUGGGAAAGAUCUAUAUUCAUAUGUCAACUUGGAGGUAAGUAUUCAUGAAUUAUUAUUGUUGACAUUGCCCUUGAGGUAAGCAGUUGGGAGGCAAAACUGUAAGCCCCUAUCUUUCUCUGUGUCCAGCUGAAACUUUGAUCUCAUGAGUACCAUGUGAGUUGUAGAAAUUGUAGAGAACGAAAGAAUGAUUGAGUAUGUGGAUUUUCUUUACAAGCUCUUAUUUGACUCUUUCUGAUGUUGUGAUAAAUUGCAAUUGCUUCAAUGACUAAAGGCUAUCGGUUGUUACUUAUCGGUAAGGUUCUUGAUCCAUGCUUUACUUUGUGAAGGAAUUAUCACUUUAGCAUGAGAGAUUAUAUGUUGGUAUUGUUGUUCUGAUCAUGAUCAUGAUGCAUGCAUGUUCGUAUUUUGUUUUGUCCACACCUCUCUCCCUAAACAUGUGGACAUAUUUAUUGAGCUAGGCUUUCGCUUGAGGACAAGCGAGAUCUAAGCUUGGGGAGUUGAUACGUCCAUUAUGCAUCAUGUUUUCAUGUUGAUAUUUAUCGCUUCUUGGGCUGUGAUUUCACUUCACGGUACAAUACUUAUGCCUUUUCUCUCCUAUUUUGCAAGGUUUACAUGAAGAGGGAGAAUGCCGGCAACUGGAAUUCUGGCCUGAAAGUGGAGUAAAGUUGAGAUACCUAUUCUGCGCAACUCCAAACGUCGUAAAAAUCAACGAGGAUUUGUUUUCCGGAUUUAUAAAAAAUACAGGGCCGAAGAAGCGCCAGAGGGGCGCCAGCAGGUGGCCACAAGCCUGCACGACGCGGGCACCCCCUGGCCGCGCCAUGAGGGCUUGUGGGCAGCCUGCUGGCCCACUGCCCCCCCUCCUCGGCUAUAUGAAGGGUUUCGUCUAGGAAAAAAAUCAAGGAGGAGCUUUUUCGUGGAUUCGCCGCCGCCACGAGGCGGAACUUGAGCAGAACCAAUCUAGAGCUCUGGCAGGACGAUCCUGCUGGGGAAACUUCCCUCCCGGAGGGGGAAAUCGUCGCCAUCGUCAUCACCAAUAGUCAUCUCAUCGGAGGAGACUCAUCACCAUCAACAUCUUCAUCAGCACCAUCUCAUCUCCAAACCCUAGUUCAUCACUUCUAACCAAUCUCCGUCUCGCGACUCCGAUUGGUACUUGUAUGGUUGCCAGUAGUGUUAAUUACUCUUUGUAGUUGAUGCUAGUUGGAUUAUUUGGUGGAAGAGUUUAUAUUCAGAUCCUUGAUUCUACUCAUUACCUCUCUAGUCAUGAAUAUGAUUAUGCUUUGUGAGUAGUUACUUUUGUUCCCGAGGACAUGGGAUAAGUCAUGCUAAUAGUAGUCAUGUGAAUUUGGUAUUCGUUCGAUACUUUGAUGUGUUGUAUGUUGUUUUUCCUCUAGUGGUGUUAUGUGAACGUCGACUACAUAACACUUCACCAUUAUUUGGGCCUAGAGGAAGGCAUUGGGAAGUAGUAAGUAGAUGAUGGGUUGCUAGAGUGACAGAAGCUUAAAUCCUAGUUUAUGCGUUACUUCGUAAGGGGCUGAUUUGGACCCACUAGUUUAAUGCUAUGGUUGGACUUUAUCUUAAUUCUUCUUUCCUAGUUGCGUAUGCUUGCGAGAGGGGUUAAUCAUAAGUGGGAUGCUUGUCCAAGUAAGGGCAGUAUCCAAGCGCCGGUCCACCCACAUAUCAAACUAUCAAAGUAACGAACGCAAAUCAUAUGAACAUGAUGAAACUAGCAUGAUAGAAAUUCCCGUGUGUCCUCCGGAGCGUUUUCCUCCUAUAAGACUUUGUUCACGCUUGUCCCUUGCUACAAAAGGGAUUGGGCCACUUUGCAGCACCGUUGCUACUUUUGUUACUUGGUGCUCGCUACGAAUCAUCUCACCACUCAAUCACUUGUUACCGAUAAUUUCAGUGCUUGCAGAUAUUUCCUUGCUGAAAACCACUUGUCAGAUCUUUCUGCUCCUUGUUGGGUUUGACACUCUUACUUAUCGAAAGGACUACGAUUGAUCCCCUAUAUUUGUGGGUCAUCAAGACUCUUUUCUGGCGCCGUUGUCGGGGAGUGAAGCGCCUUUGGUAAGUGGAACUUGGUAAGGAAACAUUCAUAUAGUGUGCUGAAAUUUAUUGUCACUUGUCACUAUGGAUACUAAUCCUUUGAGGGGCUUGUUCGGGGUAUCUUCACCUCGAACGGAAGCACAAAUAGUUUCUCCUCAACCUGCUGCACCUACAAAAACGAAAGGAAACAAAUCUUCCUAGUCAAAUCUCAUAAGUACUCUAUCUAGCUUCUCCAAUGUAGGGUGUCUGUGUUUAUUAGUCCAGGUGUACUUGCCACCCCUCAUGUGGAUCUCCCGCUUGCUUAAGGAGUUAAUAGCCGUGCGGAAUUUAUCAAUGUAUUGGGAAUUACCAUGGUUUUUGUUCUUGUCAUGCACCCCUCAAAUGAUGUUCAAAUCACCACCUAUGAUAUAAGGUAUUCCAAUAUUGGUACAUGUAUGAGUCAUCUCAUCAAGGAAUUCAUCUUUACGAUCAUCAUGGGACGCCCCGUACACCAACACAAAGUGCCUAUAUACAUUGCUUUUUAACAUAAAAAACUAUAACCUGGAUAAGAAAGCUGCCAAUCGACCAGGAAAAAACUUCAAGGGUCUCUUUUCUAACCCCACAAAGUAUGCCACCAAAUCUAUCCAUGGAGGGGACAUGAUUCCAAGUAAAUCUGUCUAAGGGAUCAACUUUACGCAAGAAUUGAGGAGGAAACUUGUUUUACUGGUCUCUUGAAUGCCUAUGAAAUCAAGGGAAUGGUCUUUGAUGAUAUGAGAGAAAUAGGUAGCCAUCCCUCUCUUACCUGCUCCCCUACAAUUCCAUAAUACUCUUCAAUUAACAAUCGAGGUUUUUUCCCUUUCUUUGUAACCCUACUAGGAGUCAGAGUAGGGUUACCCUCAUCUUUUUUCAAGGAGGUAAAAUUUUUUGACUUCGAGUGAUAGGCCUAAUCAUAAAAACAUUAUGCUUUCUAUCUUUUUUUCUUUAUGGAUUUUACCACCGUGAACUCCCCAUCCUCUAAAUUGUUUUCCUCCCCCAGUUCACAUCAAAAGGAGUUUGAUCCCAUUUGGCAUUGGUGAGUACAAUAUUAUUCCCAGUGUGUUUAUCAAUUCCACCAUUAGAUUCUAUAUUUCUAGAAUUCUCAAGUUCUCAUCAGCAUCCAGUAUAUGAACCCCCAUUUUAACAACAGUUGUAAUCAACUCAUGGUUAGAUAAAGUAUCAAAGGAGUUGGUGAAGUCAGAAGUACCUUCGGUGUCCCUCUUUUUUGUAGCAGCUAUAACCUUGUCUUCAAUUUUCUCCGUCUUGUUCUGCACAUUUCGAAGGCUAAAGCGCAAAUUAUCUCCGGUAACCAAGGGGGAGUAGGGAUCACCUCAAGAUCCAUCUAGGAAUCAGGCGAUUCAACUCUGUAAUCACUAGAACCAUUAGCACCAGCCUCGCAGGUCGCGUCCACCUCCAUAACCUGAGGAGACUUCCUCACCACGUCAGCAAAAGAUUUCUUGUUGCUGCCAAGAUUUGUGUUAUUAUCAGUGUGAAUUUCUUUCAUCUUUUGACUUACUUUUUUUUUACCAUGAUCCACAUAGUCCAGUGCCACAGUGUCAAUUAGUAAUGUGGUAUGUAGCGACUCAUCCGAGUCCAUACUCCCCUGAGAUUCCUGGAUUUGAUCAUGCUUUCCUCCAUUCUGGGGGAUAGAAGGGGUUCCCCCUCCAAGCCCAGUGAAGGGACCAACCAGAUCAGGUUGUUUUUUCAUGCCAUUAUUAUCAGUUCCAAGAGACUUUUUUUUCCAGAGUUUAGCGAAGUAUGGACAAUGUUUUUUCUCUGUUAGGAUCUUUCACCAGAACCUGGUCCACCUCAUAAUAGAAAUCAUAGAAGUGACCACCCAAAACAGACUCAGCAACAGCAGAAACACAUCCACAUUUCUACAUCCAAGUUUCACCUGAGUAGAGGCCGGGCGAUGCAAAGUGGCCGCAUCAAUCUCCAAAGGGACCCCAACCAAGGAAGCAACAAAUGCAAGAUUUCUUUCAUUCCUUUCGUCAAGAGGAACAUUACUAAUUUUAACCCAGGCUACCUCCAUGCCCCCAUUGGAGCUAAUAGCUGAGGACCAUUUGGUAGCAUGAAUAAUAGCUCAACUGGCUUGAGCUCAGCUAUCCCCACAUAGCAUAUCUGUGCCACUUCGCGAGGAUUAGGAAAUCUAACCACAAAACCCCUGGACCAAUAGCAUGUUCCGAACAACGCAACCCAGUAGCGAGAUAGUCAUUCAGAUCUAGUUCCUUUGACGAGUAGAUGUCUCCCCCUCUGCGAUAGUAACUACAAUAUUAUUUGACCUCUCUUUCAUCUGAUUCGCAGUACACGAAUCAUGGAUAUAGUUGAAACCUUGCCCCUUAGACUGGAAUGCACACAUAGGAGCAAUACAUUCCCAAGGAAGGAAUUCUAGACACCCAGAAGCAAGGUGGCCUAGUUUGCUACAUUUCUCACAGAAAGCUUGUGGGCAAUAGAUAGGAGAAUGCUCAUGCAAUUUGCAGAUAGGACAAGGCUCAAGUUUCUUGGUAGGAUCCACCUGAUUGGUGUUCUGCUUCCCCUGAGACGCCGAGGUAGACGGGAGAUUUGUCGUUCGAUGCCAUCACCAGAUGAUUCAAAGGAACCCUGGUUCUUUGGCUUCCAGACCACCCCCUCUGGACUCUGUUGUUGCUUUGCUACCGCUGUUGCGUCCCAAUGGGAAGUGUCAUUGGAGACCAAUGCGACGUUGGACACAGAUGAGUUGUUGUGGACUUCAUCGCCCCUCUUCCAGGAGAACUUACUCUCGUCUCCUCCGCGGCCACCGCCUCGACCUGGUUGGCGACCGAGACCACGAGCACCAUGAUACGUCCCAAACGUAUCUAUAAUUUCUGCUUGUUCCAUGAUCUUUUGGGUGACAUUGUUAUAUGUUUUGCUACACUUUUAUAUCAUUUUACACAUAUUUGGACUAACCUACUAACUCAGUGCACCCAGUGCCAGUUUCUGUCUGUUGAUGUCUAUUUUGCACAGGCUUUUACCCAAUUUUCCGAAGCCCAAAAAAUUCCAGAAAAAUUAUAUCAAAAAUCAAUGAAACUGAAACUUACGGAUCACCGAAGAUGGACCAGAGGGGGGCUAGGGGCCUCCCAGGCGGCCUGCUGGCGCUACCAGGCCCUAGGCCGCUCCAGGAGGUCGCCUGGGUGGGUCCCACAUCCUCCGGUGCCCUCCUUUGGCCUAUAUUUAGAGUCCCGAGAGGAAACCCUUGCAGACUUUCUGGAAUCGCGAAUUUCUCCAUCGUUUCGCUGCCGCAGCGCUUCCGAGAUCGGGAGCGUCAGGAGACCUCUUCCCGGCACCCUGCCGGAGGGAGGAUUGACCUCGUGGAGCUUCUCCACCGGCAUGGACACUUCCCGGACGUGUCGUGAGUAGUCCUCCUUCGACCAUGAGUCCAUGACCAGUAACUAUGUGAUGUUUUCUCUCCAAUCUUGUGCUUCAGUGGUUAGUCCUUGUGAGCUGCCCUACAUGAUCAAGGCAUCUAUGUAAUUCUCUUGCUAUUGCUAUGCUCGGUUUGUUGGGAUCCUAUGGAUUAUGAGAUUAUGUUCGGGUUGUUAUGAGUUAUAUAUUUGAUUAUCCUUUUAUAUUAUGUUCCUUAGUGAUUCAUGCAUGUUCUCCAUUGCUAUUUAUUGCUUUGGCCGAGUAGUAGAUUGUAACUCCAAGAGGGAGCGUUAUGCAUGAUUGUGGGUUCAUGCCCCUCGAUGUCUAGCUUGAGUGACAGAAACAUGAGACUAGGAGAUGUGCUUGUUGCCACCAGGGAGAAAACAACGGUGCUUGUGACCACGGUUGCAAGGAUUGUUUACCUUGCACAUAGUUCGUUAAUGCAGUUGUCCGUUGCUUUGAGUUUACACUUUGGGUGGGGCUCGCAACUUAAUACCGGAGAGAUGUUCUGGAUAGAUAUCUCAAGGUGGAUGAUUAGUAAGUAUAUGCUGAUGAAUAAACGGUCUACUUGUCUUGGCGUACUGCCCAUUACUAUUGAACCUCUAACUAUCAAGUAGCAUAAUUAGCAUUGCGGUGUGAUCAUAAUUCUGUCAAUUGCCCAACUGUGAUUUGUUUACCGAAGCAUAGUUGUUUAUCGUCUUUUGGAAGAGAGACAUCACUAGUGAACAUCAUGUGACUCCGGUCCAUAUCACCAUCAUUGUUUACACCUCCAUCAUUUACCACUUUCAUUUAAUUUUUCGUUGCAAUCAUUGUUAUUUUCCCGCUUGUGUUUUGAUCCUUUGCAAACUACAAGGGCAGAGAGAUUGACAACCUCUCUAUACUCGUUGGGAGCAAAGUUAUUUGUUGUGUGUGAAGGUCCACGUCUUCUGCUAGCGUCAGGGUGGAAGACACCUACUUGUUGAGCCUAGGAGUCCUCUUGGUUCGAUAAACCUUACAGUCUUCGUGUAAGGGAAAUCUGCUGCUGACUACAUCUCCACCUUCCACUUGAGGUAACCAACGAGGGGCGAGAAGUAUGUCCAUCAAAUCGUCAUCACACCACGUUCGGGUUCCUCAGACCGGCCCCCACGGUACCCACGUCCUCUGUCUACCGUCAUGGUAGGAGAGGCUGCCACCGCCGCAAACGACCGCUGGUCACCCCCACCUUGCCUUUCCACCAACCAAAUGAAUCAGGAAUUCUGGAUCUAGUUUUUUCUACCGCCAUCCAGAAUUGGGAGAAGGAUUCUUCUAGGUCAAGCACCGAGGGAGGAAGAGGGAAUUUUAUAUCGGCACCUCCGCGGGUAUGGAGGAUCGGAUGGCCCCCACAUGUCGCACAUCCGCCAUUGUUGCCCGGUUGGUGGCGGCAGGUCCCGCCUCGGUCCACUGCGGUCCAUCUGACUGACGCCCCACGCGCCCCCACCACCCCUCCGCACUCCCGAUCAACCGCCGUGUUCGCCGAAACGCCGCUCGUCGCCGGUAAUUGGUCGCGAAUUCUCGCGAAAAGACAAGGAAAAGCAAUCACGUCACCUAUGACGAAGGUUUUCAAUGCGCGGAGGAAACGUACGUCAACCGUGACCCCGCGUGCAUCCAACAACACUAUCCGGAGGGCAUCACGACGGAGCAAAAGCACGACGUCAUUGAACGACAACGAUUUCGCCAUGAGGUCGACGAUGAAGGAGACCCGCCAUCUCGAAUCGCCCAGGUCGCCCAAAUCGCUGCUUAUCUCGCAAGCCAUCUAUAUAUCGUGUUAUUGUAUAAACUUUGGUUCGUUUUCCCGGUCGUUUUUGACCUGUAGGUCGUAUCCAAAGGGAGAAUUCCUACAUGGCCCCGGAAAGGAUGGGAUUGGGUGAGUUAUGUACCUGCACAUGAGUCCCAUGAUAGCGUGACUUGCUCUGCGCACGAGCUCCCGCACCUAGUUCAUGCGCUCCAAGCCUGCUGUGACUCUCGACGGGCCGUAUUCUCAGCUAUAGUGACCUUGUCCUGUCGUAGCCGGGCUCAGGGCAGCAGCACGACGCAUGGGGCACACCAGCCGGUGGUUGCAGACCAUGCAGUACACGAUAACACGACAGAGUCGAUAAAGUCCGUGUGACCAUGUCGUCCGUGUGACCGUGUCUAUCUCGUCGAGCUCUAAGUGUCACUCCUCAAUGCUUUUAGCAGCAAAACAUACACACGUAUGAGCUGACUUUGUAAGUAGAUAAGCAGGUUGGUUGAUUCUUCGUGAAGACACGUACAAGUUGGAUGUAUUCCUUCGGAGAUAGUAUCUCCGUACGUACGCAAGCCAUGCUGAUCGAAUUGAUCGAUAUACUCUGAUCUGGACGCACGCACACGGGACAUUCUGGGUUUAUUCCUUCGGAGAUGGUACAUGGAUCGACUGGGACCGUGGAGGCUAGAGCUUGCCGCUCGCCAAGCUUUUUUUUCAAACUCUAGAAAUAAGCAGAAAUGCUCUUGACAAGUUUUGACAAGUUAUAUAUAUUUUUUAAUUUAUGACACUUGAUGGGGGUGAUGCUCAUGACUAUCUGACAAUGUGGUACAAAUUUAAGAUCAAUGGAAGAAAGUUAUCAAUGAAACUUUGUCAAAUUCUAGAGAUGGACAGAAUUGGUUUUGGCAUACUUUGACCAAGCUAAUUCGUUCUACUUGAUGCAUCACUUGGCCUAGAUAAAUAUUUAGACCAUUGUAAAAGGUGUACCAAGUUUGAACUUAUUUGGAUAUGUGUACCAAUGUAAAGUUUCUUAAAGUAAAAAAUGGGCAGAGAUGUGGAAGUUUGAUGAUGUUAUCUUAUUCUCCAACACAUGAGACUUGGGGCCAGUUCUUUUCAUCUCUGCCCACAGAAUCAUCUGGCCACAGAAUUGUCUGUCAUGUUCUUUUCUGUAAUUCUAGCAUGUAAUUGUUGUAUGAGUUGUGUGUUCAAAUGUAUGAAACACCCCUAGAUUGAAAUGGAGAAGGGACGGCAACGGUGCAUGGUGGCGGCCUGACGGCGCAGGAGCAGGGUGGCCGGGCGGGGAGGCGUCGAGAUGUGGCGGCCCGGCAGGAAGGAGAGGAGGAGAAGGGGCGGCGGCGCCGCAUGGUGGCGGCCCUGCGUCGCAGGAGCAGGGUGGCCGUGUGGGGAUGCGCCGAGAUGUGGCGGCCCGACGGGAUGGAGAGUAGAAGGGGCGGCGCGACGCAGGAGCAGGGUGGCCGGGUGGGAAGGCGUCGAGAUGUGGCGGCCCGGCGGCACAGGAUGGUGGCCCGACGGUGCAGGAGCAGGGUGGUCGUGCGGGAAGGCGUCGUGAUGUGGCGGCCCGGUGGGAUGGAGAGGAGGAUAAGUGGUAGCGACGGUGCAGAGUGGCAGCCCGACUACGUAGGAGCAGGGUGGCCAGGCAGGGAGGCCCUAUUGCUGUCUGACCCGAGUGGAAAUUUGAACGUAAUAUCGUCAUUCAAUAGGGAUAGUAAUUCAAAACGAAAGGUUUUCUUUUGAGGGGAUGGCUAGAAUUGCCAUAAUUGUGAGGUUCUCACACUUCUAAAAUGCACUAAUAAUUAUGGUAAUUUUCAGAUAAUUCUUGGGGAAGAAACAAGUUCUUUUGUGAUUGUAAUUCUCCGACAGCCAUUCUAUGGAAUUGAGUCAAAAAAACUGGCCCUUGACAAGAUCAUAAAAUAUGGCAUUUGUGAUAUGCUAGAAUUUUCUUGAAAUUUAUGAUAAAUAUUUACUUUCUAAGUAUUUUAAAAUAUUGAAAUAUUCAGAAAGGAUAAUUGAAUGUUUUGACCAAUAUUUUAAGCUAUGUAAAAAAGGAUAAUUGCAUCAACUCUGACAAUUGUGUGCAUCUUGGUUGCGCUGCUCCUCCCUUAAGUGCGUAAUGCACCUGAAGAGAGGGAUUAAUUUAUAGGAUGGCUUUUGAGUCUAAAUUAUUACCUUAUACGUCGAGAUUGGUCGGUAUCCAUCAUAUUUACUCCCUUUGUCCCGGUGCGUACCUAAUAAAUUCAAAUAAUUUCAAAACACUUAGACGCGGUUCAUUAAUUUUCACCUUUUAUUUUUUAUAUGAAUAGAACAAUUAACUAAUAAGAGACGUGGGACAUGUAUUGUUUUAAUUACUUAAGACUAUCCAACACAACAUGCAAUGGUUAGUUCAUUGCAUGCAAUGAUAUUAAUUAGCAAAUGAGUAUUAAAUUAUUUCAUUUUUUCUCUCCGUCUAAUUAGCAAAUGAGUAUUAAAAUCUUUCAUUUUUCUCGUCGCCUUUAUCGUGAUGCACAACGUAAGAUGACUUAAAAACCGAAUUGAAAGGAGUAGCUCAUAUAAGGCGGGUCGUAAUGAAAGCACCAUAUCUAGUAUCAUGUAUGCCAACUAAACAAUUUUGAUGAGGUGGCAUAGAAUUAAAUAAAAAAAAAGAGGGUUGAGUAUCAUAUCAUAAUACCGUAUCAUAUUAAAUGUUGUGCUAGUAUGUGUUAUGCAUGGCAAUAAAUGACAUAUCCUAUGAUACUAUGCAUUACGGGUGUAGUAUCAUACACUAGUAUCAUAUGCAUGAUACUAGUAUAUGAUACUCUCCAUUACAACCAGCCUAACCGGACACACCAUAAUUUCACCAUCAUAUUUAGCUUAUAUAUAUUUAGCUUAUAUAUGCGGGCUAUAAAAAGGACAAGUAACGACCAAACAGACCGGACCCACCAUAUAUUUCACCAAAUCCCGCUCCCCUAAGCUUGCCGGACAAGCCCCACUUUUCUUCUCCACUCACCUCCCUCGUCCACGCCGGCUCUCACCUAGCUUUGCUUGCCAUCCUAGCUCACCGACCCCUCCAAUCUAGAUUUUCCAAUUCAUAGGCCAGGCCAAGAGAAUCUUUUAAAUUAAACAGUAGAAACAUAGGCCUGUCUUAUUACAACACCGACAAGAACUUAUUCAUCAUAUAUGUCUUUAGUAGGACACGAUAUACGUGUCAUUCAUCAGCUCUCUAUGGCAACACCAUUCACCACGGUCUCCAUCGGCCCAGGCUUAUUGCUACCACCCACAGCGAUCGUGUCCUGCUCGUAGGCUGAGAGAUGGACUCCAAGCGCUGCUCUCCCAGAGGGGUCCAGGUUCCCAGACCACUGCGCGUCCCACUCUAUUGCCUUGGCUGUGCUGCACGCCACGCUUGGCCCGCCUGGCACCGUGAGGAUCGCCGAGCUCUGA
This 48507-nucleotide long non-coding RNA is filed under the name Hordeum vulgare. RNAcentral's name for it is "long non-coding RNA (HVUL_LNC006372)". The record is from RNAcentral. Lineage: Eukaryota; Viridiplantae; Streptophyta; Magnoliopsida; Poales; Poaceae.